RNAcentral lists this long non-coding RNA (73067 nucleotides) under Olea europaea (common olive). RNAcentral's name for it is "long non-coding RNA (OEUR_LNC014278)". Lineage: Eukaryota; Viridiplantae; Streptophyta; Magnoliopsida; Lamiales; Oleaceae. The record is from RNAcentral.
UAUGACAAAAACAAUAAGUGCUGCUUCACAGGUAAAGCUGUAUCCGGCAGGUAACAAGCUGGACUUUGCACGGUAAUUUUGGCUGCUUUGUGAUACGAAUUUGACUUCUUCCAAAACAUGAAAGUUGUAGAAACGUGCCUUGUCUUUCCAACCCAACUUGAAUCACCUCGAUCCAAUGUCUGAAACUCAAGUUACGAUUAUUUUACCAACAGCUGCUUCUUGCUUGAGGCAGUCACUAUUUUUGACUUUUCAACAUUAUUUUCCUCCACUUGCUCCACUUGUAAUAAAUUGAAAAUACAUGUGAAAUACAUCAAAUAGAUACUCUUUCAAAUGUAUAAUACUCAUGCCACCAUGUAUGUAAUACGUAUUUCAAUUAAUUGCAUUUUUAACCAUGUAUUUAUGGAAAUUGAAUUUACGGCAUGAGAAUUGGAAUUAGAGACUAACAUUAGCGUUUUUAAACAAAGUGAAUGUAAAAUGCCUUCUAAAUGAUAUAUCUUUGAAGCACUUUUAGACACUAAUCAAUAACUUUAGGUUUGUUCGUUUUUGGCGAAUUACUAAUGUAAUUCGAUUGGAAUCGAGCCAAUGAAAAUUGGUUUUCGAUUUCACAAUAACUUUUUGUCAGUUUGUUUUUGGCGACUAGCUAGUCUAAUUCGAUUGGAAUCGAGCCAAUGAAAUGUGGUUUUCGAUUUCAUGAUAACUUCGGGUUUGUUCAUUUUUGGCGAAUUGCUAGUCGAAUUUGAUUGGAAUCAAGCCAAUGAAACGUGUAUUUCGAUUUCAUGAUAACUUUGGGUCUGUUCAUUUUUGGCGAAUUGGUAGUCUAAUUCGAUUGGAAUCUAGCAAUGAAAUGUGGUUUUCGAUUUCAUUGUAACUUCAUGUUUAUUCAUUUUUGGUGAAUUGCUAGUCUAAUUUGAUUGGAAUCGAGCUAAUGAAAUGUGGUUUUCAAUUUCAUGAUAACUUCGGGUUUGUUCAUUUUUGGCGAAUUGCUAGUCUAAUUUGAUUGUAAUCCAGCCAAUGAAAUGUGGUUUUCGAUUUCUUGAUAACUUCGAGAUUGUUCAUCUUUGGCAAAUUGCUAGUCUAAUUUGAUUGGAAUCGAGCCAGUGAAAAGUGGCUUUCGAUUUCAUGAUAACUUCGGGAUUGUUCAUUUUGGCAAAUUGUUAGUCUAAUUCGAUUGGAAUCGAGCUAAUGAAAUGUGGUUGUCGAUUUCAUGAUAACUUCGGGUUUGUUCCUUUUUUACGAAUUGCUCGUCUAAUUCGAUUGGAAUCGAACCAAUGAAACGUGUAUUUCGAUUUCAUAAUAACUUAGGGUCUGUUCAAUUUUGGUGAAUUGCUAGUCUAAUUCGACUGAAAUCGAGCCAUGAAAUGUGGUUUUCGAUUUCAUGAUAACUACGGGUUUGUUCCUUUUUGGCGAAUUGCUAGUCUUACUCGAUAGGAAUCGAGUUAAUGAAAUGUGGUUUUCGAUUUCACGAUAACAAACAACUUCGGGUUUGUUCAUUUUUGGCGAAUUGCUAGUCUAAUUCGAUUGGAAUCGAGCUAGUGAAAAGUGGCUUCUAAUUUCAUGAUAACUUCGAGUUUCUUUGUUUUUGGCGAAUUACUAGUCUAAUUCGAUUGGGAUCGAGCCAGAGAAAAGUGGCUUUGAAUUUCAUGAUAACUUCGAGUUUAUUUAUUUUUGGCGAAUUGCUAGUCUAAUUCGAUUGGAAUCGAACCAAUUAAACGUGUAUUUCGAUUUCAUGAUAACUUCGGGUCUGUUAUUUUUGGCAAAUUGCUAGUCUAAUUCGAUUGGAAUCGAGCCAUUAAAUGUGGUUUUCGACUUUCAUGAUAACUUCGGGUUUUAUGAUUUUGGACGAAUUCCUAGUCUAAUUCGAUUGGAGUCGAGUCAAUGAAAUGUGGAUUUUAAUUUCAUGAUAACUUCGGGAUUGUUCAUCUUUGGCAAAUUGCUAGUCUAAUUCGAUCGAAAUUGAGCCAAUGGAAUGUAGUUUUCGAUUUGAUGAUAACUUCGUGUUUGUUCAUUUUUAUCGAAUUGCUAGUCUAAUUCGAUUGGAAUCGAGCUAAUGAAACGUGUGUUUCGAUUUUGUAAUAACUUCGAGUCUGCUCAUUUUCGGCGAAUUGCUAAUCUAAUUCGAUUGAAAUCGAGCCAUGAAAUGUGGUUUUCGAUUUCAUGAUAACUUCGCGUUUGUUUAUUUUUGGCGAAUUGCUAGUCUAAUUCGAUUACAAUGGAGCCAGCGAAUUGUGGUUUUUGAUUUCAUGAUAACUUCUGGUUUGUUCAUUUUUGGCGAAUUGGUGGUCUAAUUCGAUUGGAAUCGAGCCAAUGAAAUGUGGUUUUUGAUUUCAAGAUAACUUCGGCUUUGUUCGUUUUUGGCGAAUUGCUAGACUAAUUCGAUUGGAAUCGAGCCAUGAAAUGUGGUUUUCGAUUUCAUGAUAACUUUAGGUUUGUUCAUUUUUGGCGAAUUACUAAUGUAAUUCGAUUUGAAUCGAGCCUAUGAAAAUUGUUUUUCGAUUUCAUAAUAACUUUUUGUAUGUUCAUUUUUGGCGAAUAGCUAGUCUAAUUCGAUUGGAAUCGAGCCAUUGAAAUGUGGUUAUCGAUUUCAUGAUAACUUCGGGUUUGCUCGUUUUUAGCAAAUUGCCAGUCUAAUUCGAUUGGAAUCGAGCCAAUGAAACGUGUAUUUCGAUUUCAUGAUAACUUCAGGUCUGUUCAUUUUUGGGGAAUUGCUAGUGUAAUUCGAUUGGAAUCGGGCCAUGAAAUGUGGUUUUCGAUUUCAUGAUAACUUCGCGCUUGUUCAUUUUUGGCGAAUUGCUAGUCUAAUUCGAUUGGAAUCGAGCCAAUGAAAUGUGGUUUUAGAUUUCACGAUAACUUCGGGUUUUUUUUUUUGGCGAAUUACGAGUCUAAUUCGAUUGGAAUCGAGCCAUGAAAUGUUGUUUUCGAUUUCAUGAUAACUUUAGGUUUGUUCAUUUUUGGCGAAUUACUAAUGUAGUUCGAUUGGAAUCGAGCCAAUGAAAAUUGGUUUUCGAUUUCAUAAUAACUUUUUGGUUGUUCGUUUUGUGCGAAUAGCUAGUUUAAUUGGACUGGAAUCAGGCAAAUGGAAUUUGCUUUCGGUUUCAUGAUCACUUCAGGUUUGUUCAUUUUUGGCGAAUUGUUAGUCUAGUUCGUUUGGAAUCGAUCCAAUGAAAUGUGGUUUUCGAUUUCAUGAUAACUUCAGGUUUGUUUGUUUUUGGCAAAUUACUAGUCUAAUUCAAUUUGAAUCGAGCCAUGAAAUGUGGUUUUUGAUUUCAUGAUAACUUCAGGUUUGUUCGUUUUUAGAGAAUUGCUAGUCUAAUUCGAUUGGAAUCGAGCCAAUGAAACGUGUAUUUCAAUUUCAUGAUAACUUUGGGUCUGUUCAUUUUUGGCGAAUUGCUAGUCUAAUUUGAUUGGAAUCGAGCCAUGAUAUGUGGUUUUCGAUUUCAUGAUAACUUCGGCUUUGUUCAUCUUUGGCGAAUUGCUAGUCCAAUUCGAUUGGAAACGAGUCAACAAAAUGUGGUUUUCGAUUUCAUGAUAACUUCGGAUUUGUUCGUUUUUAGAGAAUUGCAUUCUAAUUCGAUUGGAAUUGAGCCAAAGAAACGUGUAUUUUGAUUUCACGAUAACUUCAGGUCUAUUCUUUUUUGGCGAAUUGCUAGUCUAAUUCGAUUGGAAUCGAACCAUGAAAUGCAGUUUUCGAUUUCAUGAUAACAUCGGGUUUGAUCAUUUUUGGCGAAUUGCUAGUCUAAUUCGAUUGGAAUCGAGCCAAUGAAAUGUGGUUUCGAUUUCAUGAUAACUUCGGGUUUGUUCAUUUUUGGCGUAUUGCUAGUCUAAUUCGAUUGGAAUCCAGCCAAUGAAAUGUGGUUUUCGAUUUCUUAAUAACUUCGGGAUUGUUCAUCUUUGGCAAAUUGCUAGUCUAAUUCGAUUGGAAUCGAGCCUGUGAAAAGUGGCUUUCGAUUUCAUGAUAACUUCGGGAUUGUUCAUUUUUGGCAAAUUGUUAGUCUAAUUCGAUUGGAAUCGAUCUAAUGAAAUGUGGUUUUCAAUUUCAUGAUAACUUCGGGUUUGUUCCUUUUUUACGAAUUGCUCGUCUAAUUCGAUUGGAAUCGAACCAAUGAAAAGUGUAUUUCGAUUUCAUGAUAACUUAGGGUCUGUUCAAUUUUGGCGAAUUGCUAGUCUAAUUCGACUGAAAUCGAGCCAUGAAAUGUGGUUUUCGAUUUCAUGAUAACUUCGGGUUUGUUCCUUUUUGGCGAAUUGCUAGUCUUAUUCGAUAGGAAUCGAGUCAAUGAAAUAUGGUUUUCAAUUUCAUGAUAACAAACAACUUCGGGUUUGAUCAUUUUUGGCGAACUGCUAGUCUAAUUCGAUUGGAAUCGAGCCAAUGGAAUCUGGUUUUCGAUUUCAUGAUAACUUCGGGUUUGUUCAUUUUUGGCGAAUUGCUAGUCUAGUUUGAUUGGAAUCGAGCCAGUGAAAUGUAGUUUUCGAUUCCAUGAUAACUUCAAGUUUGUUCAUUUUUGGUGAAUUGCUAGUUUAAUUCGAUUGGAAUCGAGCCAUGAAAUGUGGUUUUCGAUUUCAUGAUAACUUUAGGUUUGUUCGUUUUUGGGGAAUUACUAAUGUAAAUCGAUUGGAAUCGAGCCAAUGAAAAUAGGUUUUUGAUUUCAUGAUAACUUUUUGUUUUUUCGUUUUUGGCGAAUAGCUAGUCUAAUUCGAUUGGAAUCGAACCAAUUAAAAGUGUAUUUCGAUUUCAUGAUAACUUCGGGUCUGUUCAUUUUUGGCAAAUUACUAGUCUAAUUCGAUUGGAAUCGAGCCAUUAAAUGUGGUUUUCGAUUUUCAUGAUAACUUCGGGUUUGUUCAUUUUUGGCGAAUUCCUAGUCUAAUUCUAUUGGAGUCGAGUCAAUGAAAUGCGGAUUUUGAUAUCAUGAUAACUUCGGGAUUGUUCGUCUUUGGCGAAUUGCUAGUCUAAUUCAAUCGAGAUUGAGCCAAUGGAAUGUAGUUUUCGAUUUUAUGAUAACUUCGGGUUUGUUCAUUUUUAUCGAAUUGCUAGUCUAAUUCGAUUGGAAUCGAGCUAAUGAAACGUGUAUUUCGACAUCAUAAUAACAUGGGUAUGUUCAUUUUUGGCGAGUUCCUAGUCUAAUUCGAUUGGAAUCGAGCCAUGGAAUGUGGUUUUCGAUUUCAUGAUAACUUUAGGUUUGUUCAUUUUUGGUGAAUUACUAAUGUAAUUCGAUUGGAAUUGAGCCAAUGAAAAUAGGUUUUCGACUUCAUAAUAACUUUUUGUUUGUUUGUUUUUGGCGAAUAGCUAGUCUAAUUCGAUUGGAAUCGAGCCAAUGAAAUGUGGUUUUCGAUUUCAUGAUAACUACGGGGUUGUUCAUUUUUAGCGAAUUGCUAGUCUAAUUCGAUUCGAAUCAAGCAAAUGGAAUUUGGUUUUCGGUUUCUUGAAAACUUCGGGUUUGUUCGUUUUUGGCGAAUUGCUAGUCUCAUUCGAUUGGAAUCGAUCAAAUGAAAUGUGGUUUUCGAUUUCAUGAUAACUUCAGGUUUGUUCAUUUUUGGCGAAUUGCUAGUCUAAUUCAAUUGGAAUCGAGCCAUGAAAUGUGGUUUUCGAUUUCAUGAUAACUUCAGGUUUGUUCAUUUUUGGCGAAUUGCUAGUCUAAUUCAAUUGGAAUCGAGCCAUGAAAUGUGGUUUUCGAUUUCAUGAUAACUUCGGGUUUGUUCGUUUUUAGCGAAUUGCUAGUCUAAUUCGAUUGGAAUUGAGCCAAUGAAAUGUGUAUUUCGAUUUCAUGACAACAUGGGUCUGUUCAAUUUUGGCGAGUUGCUAGUCUAAUUCGAUUGGAAUCGAGCCAUGGAAAGUGGUUUUCGAUUUCAUGAUAACUUCGCGUUUGUUCAUUUUUGGCAAAUUGCUAGUCUAAUUCGAUUGGAAUCGAGCCAUGAAAUGUGGUUUUCGAUUUCAUGAUAACUUUAGGUUUGUUCAUUUUUGGCGAAUUACUAAUGUAAUUCGAUUGGAUUCGAGCCAAUGAAAAUUGGUUUUCGAUUUCAUGAUAACUUUAGGUUUGUUCAUUUUUGGCGAAUUACUAAUGUAAUUCGAUUGGAUUCGAGCCAAUGAAAAUUGGUUUUCGAUUUCAUAAUAACUUUUUGUUUGUUUGUUUUUGGCGAAUGGCUAGUCCAAUUCGGUUGAAAUCGAGCCAAUGAAAUGUGGUUUUCGAUUUCAUGACAACUUCGGGUUUGUUCGUUUUUAGCGAAAUGCUAGUUUAAUUCAAUUGAUAUCAAGCAAAUGGAAUUUGAUUUUCGAUUUCAUGAUAACUUCGGGUUUCUUCAUUUUUGGCGAAUUGCUAGUGUAGUUCGAUUGGAAUCGAGCCAAUGAAAUGUGGUUUUUGAUUUCAUGAUAACUUCAGGUUUGUUCUUUUUUGCGAAUUGCUAGUCUAAUUCGAAUGGAAUCGAGCCAUGAAAUGUGGUUUUCGAUUUCAUGAUAAGUUCGGGUUUGUUCAUUUUUAGCGAUUUGCUAGUCUAAUUCGAUUGGAAUCGAGCCAAUGAAACGGGUAUUUCGAUUUCAUGAUAACUUCGGGUCUGUUCAUUUUUGGCGAAUUGCUAGUCUAACUCGAUUGGAACCGAGCCAUGAAAUGUGGUUUUCGAUUUCAUGAUAACUUCGGGUUUGUUCGUUUUUGGCGAAUUGCUAGUCGAAUUUGAUUGGAAUCGAGCCAAUGAAACGUGUAUUUCGAUUUCAUGAUAACUUUGGGUCUGUUCAUUUUUGGCAAAUUGGUAGUCUAAUUCGAUUGGAAUCUAGCAAUGAAAUGUGGUUUUCGAUUUCAUUUUAACUUCAUGUUUAUUCAUUUUCGGUUAAUUGCUAGUCUAAUUCGAUUGGAAUCGAGCUAAUGAAAUGUGGUUUUCAAUUUCAUGAUAACUUCGGGUUUGUUCAUUUUUGGCGAAUUGCUAGUCUAAUUUGAUUGGAAUCCAACCAAUGAAAUGUGGUUUUCGAUUUCUUGAUAACUUCGGGAUUGGUCAUCUUUAGCAAAUUGCUAGUCUAGUUCGAUUGGAAUCGAGCCAGUGAAAAGUGGCUUUCGAUUUCAUGAUAACUUCGGGAUUUUUCAUUUUGGCAAGCUGUUAGUCUAAUUCGAUUGGAAUCGAGCUAAUGAAAUGUGGUUUUCGAUUUCAUAAUAACUUCGGGUUUGUUCCUUUUUUACGAAUUGCUCGUCUAAUUCGAUUGGAAUCGAACCAAUGAAACGUGUAUUUCGAUUUCAUAAUAACUUAGGGUCUGUUCAAUUUUGGUGAAUUGCUAGUCUAAUUCGACUGAAAUCGAGCCAUGAAAUGUGGUUUUCGAUUUCAUGAUAACUACGGGUUUGUUCCUUUUUGGCGAAUUGCUAGUCUUAUUCGAUAGGAAUCGAGUUAAUGAAAUGUGGUUUUCGAUUUCAUGAUAACAAACAACUUCGGGUUUGUUCAUUUUUGGCGAAUUGCUAGUCUAAUUCGAUUGGAAUCGAGCUAGUGAAAAGUGGCUUCUAAUUUCAUGAUAACUUCGAGUUUCUUUAUUUUUGGCGAAUUACUAGUCUAAUUCGAUUGGAAUCGAGCCAGUGAAAAGUGGCUUUUAAUUUCAUGAUAACUUCGAGUUUAUUUGUUUUUGGCGAGUUGCUAGUCUAAUUAGAUUGGAAUCGAACCAAUUAAACGUGUAUUUCGAUUUCAUGAUAACUUCGGGUCUGUUAUUUUUGGUAAAUUGCUAGUCUAAUUCGAUUGGAAUCGAGCCAUUAAAUGUGGUUUUCGAUUUUCAUGAUAACUUCGGGUUUGUUCAUUUUGGACGAAUUCCUAGUCUAAUUCGAUUGGAGUCGAGUCAAUGAAAUGUGGAUUUUAAUUUCAUGAUAACUUCGGGAUUGUUCGUCUUUGGCAAAUUACUAGUCUAAUUCGAUCGAAAUUGAGCCAAUGGAAUGUAGUUUUCGAUUUGAUGAUAACUUCGGGUUUGUUCAUUUUUAUCGAAUUGCUAGUCUAAUUCGAUUGGAAUCGAGCUAAUGAAACGUGUGUUUCGAUUUUGUAAUAACUUUGAGUCUGUUCAUUUUCGGCGAAUUGCUAAUCUAAUUCGAUUGGAAUCGAGCCAUGAAAUGUGGUUUUCGAUUUCAUGAUAACUUCGCGUUUGUUUAUUUUUGGCGAAUUGCUAGUCUAAUUCGAUUGCAAUGGAGCCAGUGAAUUGUGGUUUUUGAUUUCAUGAUAACUUCUGGUUUGUUCAUUUUUGGCGAAUUGGUGGUCUAAUUCGAUUGGAAUCGAGCCAAUGAAAUGUGGUUUUUGAUUUCAAGAUAACUUCGGCUUUGUUCGUUUUUGGCGAAUUGCUAGACUAAUUCGAUUGGAAUCGAGCCAUGAAAUGUGGUUUUCGAUUUCAUGAUAACUUUAGGUUUGUUCAUUUUUGGCGAAUUACUAAUGUAAUUCGAUUUGAAUCGAGCCUAUGAAAAUUAUUUUUCGAUUUCAUAAUAACUUUUUGUAUGUUCGUUUUUGGCGAAUAGCUAGUCUAAUUCGAUUGGAAUCGAGCCAAUGAAAUGUGGUUAUCGAUUUCAUGAUAACUUCGGGUUUGCUCGUUUUUAGCGAAUUGCCAGUCUAAUUCGAUUGGAAUCGAGCCAAUGAAACGUGUAUUUCGAUUUCAUGAUAACUUCAGGUCUGUUCAUUUUUGGGGAAUUGCUAGUGUAAUUCGAUUGGAAUCGGGCCAUGAAAUGUGGUUUUCGAUUUCAUGAUAACUUCGCGCUUGUUCAUUUUUGUCGAAUUGCUAGUCUAAUUCGAUUGGAAUCGAGCCAAUGAAAUGUGGUUUUAGAUUUCACGAUAACUUCGGGUUUGUUUUUUUUGGCGAAUUACGAGUCUAAUUCGAUUGGAAUCGAGCCAUGAAAUGUUGUUUUCGAUUUCAUGAUAACUUUAGGUUUGUUCAUUUUUGGCGAAUUACUAAUGUAGUUCGAUUGGAAUCGAGCCAAUGAAAAUUGGUUUUCGAUUUCAUAAUGACUUUUUGGUUGUUCGUUUUGUGCGAAUAGCUAGUUUAAUUGGACUGGAAUCAGGCAAAUGGAAUUUGCUUACGGUUUCAUGAUCACUUCGGGUUUGUUCAUUUUUGGCGAAUUGCUAGUCUAGCUCGUUUGGAAUCGAUCCAAUGAAAUGUGGUUUUCGAUUUCAUGAUAACUUUAGGUUUGUUUGUUUUUGGCGAAUUACUAGUCUAAUUCAAUUGGAAUCGAGCCAUGAAAUGUGGUUUUCGAUUUCAUGAUAACUUCGGCUUUGUUCAUCUUUGGCGAAUUGCUAGUCCAAUUCGAUUGGAAACGAGUCAACAAAAUGUGGUUUUCGAUUUCAUGAUAACUUCGGGUUUGUUCAUUUUUGGCGAAUUGCUAGUCUAAUUCGAUUGGAAUCGAGCCAAUGAAAUGUGGUUUUCGAUUUCAUGAUAACUUCGGCUUUGUUCAUCUUUGGCGAAUUGCUAGUCCAAUUCGAUUGGAAACGAGUCAACAAAAUGUGGUUUUCGAUUUCAUGAUAACUUCGGAUUUGUUCGUUUUUAGAGAAUUGCAUUCUAAUUCGAUUGGAAUUGAGCCAAAGAAAUGUGUAUUUUGAUUUCACGAUAACUUCAGGUCUAUUCUUUUUUGGCGAAUUACUAGUCUAAUUCGAUUGGAAUCGAACCAUGAAAUGCGGUUUUCGAUUUCAUGAUAACAUCGGGUUUGAUCAUUUUUGGCGAAUUGCUAGUCUAAUUCGAUUGGAAUCGAGCCAAUGAAAUGUGGUUUUCGAUUUCAUGAUAACUUCGGGUUUGUUCAUUUUUGGCGAAUUGCUAGUCUAAUUCGAUUGGAAUCUAGCCAAUGAAAUGUGGUUUUCGAUUUCUUGAUAACUUCGGGAUUGUUCAUCUUCGGUAAAUUGCUAGUCUAAUUCGAUUGGAAUCGAGCCAGUGAAAAGUGGCUUUCGAUUUCAUGAUAACUUCGAGAUUGUUCAUUUUUGGCAAAUUGUUAGUCUAAUUCGAUUGGAAUCGAUCUAAUGAAAUGUGGUUUUCGAUUUCAUGAUAACUUCGGGUUUGUUCCUUUUUUACGAAUUGCUCGUCUAAUUCGAUUGGAAUCGAACCAAUGAAACGUGUAUUUCGAUUUCAUGAUAACUUAGGGUCUGUUCAAUUUUGGCGAAUUGCUAGUCUAAUUCGACUGAAAUCGAGCCAUGAAAUGUGGUUUUCGAUUUCAUGAUAACUUCGGGUUUGUUCCUUUUUGGCGAAUUGCUAGUCUUAUUCGAUAGGAAUCGAGUCAAUGAAACGUGGUUUUCGAUAUCAUGAUAACAAACAACUUCGGGUUUGAUCAUUUUUGGCGAACUGCUAGUCUAAUUUGAUUGGAAUCGAGCCAAUGGAAUCUGGUUUUCGAUUUCAUGAUAACUUCGGGUUUGUUCGUUUUUGGCGAAUUGCUAGUCUAGUUUGAUUGGAAUCAAGCCAGUGUAGUUUUCGAUUCCAUGAUAACUUCAAGUUUGUUCAUUUUUGGUGAAUUGCUAGUUUAAUUCGAUUGGAAUCGAGCUAUGAAAUGUGGUUUUCGAUUUCAUGAUAACUUUAGGUUUGUUCGUUUUUGGCGAAUUACUAAUGUAAUUCGAUUGGAAUCGAGCCAAUGAAAAUCGGUUUUUGAUUUCAUGAUAACUUUUUGUUUUUUCGUUUUUGGCGAAUAGCUAGUCUAAUUCGAUUGGAAUCGAAUCAAUUAAACAUGUAUUUCGAUUUCAUGAUAACUUCGGGUCUGUUCGUUUUUGGCAAAUUGCUAGUCUAAUUCGAUUGGAAUCGAGCCAUUAAAUGUAGUUUUCGAUUUUCAUGAUAACUUCGGGUUUGUUCAUUUUGGGCGAAUUCCUAGUCUAAUUCGAUUGGAGUCGAGUCAAUGAAAUGCGGAUUUUGAUUUCAUGAUAACUUCGGGAUUGUUCAUCUUUGGCGAAUUGCUAGUCUAAUUCAAUCGAGAUUGAGCCAAUGGAAUGUAGUUUUCGAUUUGAUGAUAACUUCGGGUUUGUUCAUUUUUAUCGAAUUGCUAGUCUAAUUCGAUUGGAAUCGAGCUAAUGAAACGUGUAUUUCGACUUCAUAAUAACAUGGGUAUGUUCAUUUUUGGCGAGUUACUAGUCUAAUUCGAUUGGAAUCGAGCCAUGAAAUGUGGUUUUCGAUUUCAUGAUAAGUUCGGGUUUGUUCAUUUUUGGCGAAUUGCUAGUCUAAUUUGAUUGGAAUCGAGCCAAUGAAACGUGUAUUUCGAUUUCACGAUAACUUUGGGUCUGUUCAUUUUUGGCGAAUUGGUAGUCUAAUUCGAUUGGAAUCUAGCAAUGAAAUGUGGUUUUUGAUUUCAUUGUAACUUCAUGUUUAUUCAUUUUUGGUGAAUUGCUAGUCUAAUUCGAUUGGAAUCGAGCUAAUGAAAUGUGGAUUUCAAUUUCAUGAUAACUUCGGGUUUGUUCAUUUUUGGCGAAUUGCUAGUCUAAUUUGAUUGGAAUCCAGCCAAUGAAAUGUGGUUUUCGAUUUCUUGAUAACUUCGGGAUUGUUCAUCUUUAGCAAAUUGCUAGUCUAGUUCGAUUGGAAUCGAGCCAGUGAAAAGUGGCUUUCGAUUUCAUGAUAACUUCGGGAUUGUUCAUUUUGGCAAAUUGUUAGUCUAAUUCGAUUGGAAUCGAGCCAAUGAAAUGUGGUUUUCGAUUUCAUGAUAACUUCGGGUUUGUUCCUUUUUUACGAAUUGCUCGUCUAAUUCGAUUGGAAUCGAACCAAUGAAACGUGUAUUUCGAUUUCAUAAUAACUUAGGGUCUGUUCAAUUUUGGCGAAUUACUAGUCUAAUUCGACUGAAAUCGAGCCAUGAAAUGUGGUUUUCGAUUUCAUGAUAACUACGGGUUUGUUCCUUUUUGGCGAAUUGCUAGUCUUAUUCGAUAGGAAUCGAGUUAAUGAAAUGUGGUUUUCGAUUUCAUGAUAACAAACAACUUCGGGUUUGUUCAUUUUUGGCGAAUUGCUAGUCUAGUACGAUUGGAAUCGAGCUAGUGAAAAGUGGCUUCUAAUUUCAUGAUAACUUCGAGUUUCUUUGUUUUUGGCGAAUUACUAGUCUAAUUCGAUUGGAAUCGAGCCAGUGAAAAGUGGCUUUUAAUUUCAUGAUAACUUCGAGUUGAUUUAUUUUUGGCGAAUUACUAGUCUAAAUCGAUUGGAAUCGAACCAAUUAAACGUUUAUUUCGAUUUCAUGAUAACUUCGGGUCUGUUAUUUUUGGCAAAUUGCUAGUCUAAUUCGAUUGGAAUCGAGCCAUUAAAUGUGGUUUUCGAUUUUCAUGAUAACUUCGGGUUUGUUCAUUUUGGACGAAUUCCUAGUCUAAUUCGAUUGGAGUCGAGUCAAUGAAAUGUGGAUUUUAAUUUCAUGAUAACUUCGGGAUUGUUCGUCUUUGGCAAAUUACUAGUCUAAUUCGAUCGAAAUUGAGCCAAUGGAAUGUAGUUUUCGAUUUGAUGAUAACUUCGGGUUUGUUCAUUUUUAUCGAAUUGCUAGUCUAAUUCGAUUGGAAUCGAGCUAAUGAAACGUGUGUUUCGAUUUCGUAAUAACUUCGAGUCUGUUCAUUUUCGGCGAAUUGCUAAUCUAAUUCGAUUGGAAUCGAGCCAAGAAAUGUGGUUUUCGAUUUCAUGAUAACUUCGCGUUUGUUUAUUUUUGGCGAAUUGCUAGUCUAAUUCGAUUGCAAUGGAGCCAAUGAAAUGUGGUUUUCGAUUUCAUGAUAACUUCCAGUUUGUUCAUUUUUGGCGAAUUGGUGGUCUAAUUCGAUUGGAAUCGAGCCAAUGAAAUGUGGUUUUUGAUUUCAAGAUAACUUCGGCUUUGUUCAUUUUUGGCGAAUUGCUAGACUAAUUCGAUUGGAAUCGAGCCAUGAAAUGUGGUUUUCGAUUUCAUGAUAACUUUAGGUUUGUUCAUUUUUGGUGAAUUACUAAUGUAAUUCGAUUUGAAUCGAGACUAUGAAAAUUGUUUUUCGAUUUCAUAAUAACUUUUUGUAUGUUCGUUUUUGGCGAAUAGCUAGUCUAAUUCGAUUGGAAUCAAGCCAAUGAAAUGUGGUCAUCGAUUUCAUGAUAACUUCGGGUUUGCUCGUUUUUCGCGAAUUGCCAGUCUAAUUAGAUUGGAAUCGAGCCAAUGAAACGUGUAUUUCGAUUUCAUGAUAACUUCAGGUCUGUUCAUUUUUGGGGAAUUGCUAGUGUAAUUCGAUUGGAAUCGGGCCAUGAAAUGUGGUUUUCGAUUUCAUGAUAACUUCGCGCUUGUUCAUUUUUGGCGAAUUGCUAGUCUAAUUCGAUUGGAAUCGAGCCAAUGAAAUGUGGUUUUAGAUUUCACAAUAACUUCGGGAUUUUUUUGGCGAAUUACGAGUCUAAUUCGAUUGGAAUCGAGCCAUGAAAAGUUGUUUUCGAUUUCAUGAUAACUUUAGGUUUGUUCAUUUUUGGCGAAUUACUAAUGUAGUUCGAUUGGAAUCGAGCCAAUGAAAAUUGGUUUUCGUGGUUGUUUGUUUUGUGCGAAUAGCUAGUUUAAUUGGACUGGAAUCAGGCAAAUGGAAUUUGCUUUCGGUUUCAUGAUCACUUCAGGUUUGUUCAUUUUUGGCGAAUUGCUAGUCUAGCUCGUUUGUAAUCGAUCCAAUGAAAUGUGGUUUUCGAUUUCACGAUAUCUUCAUGUUAGUUUGUUUUUGGCGAAUUACUAGUCUAAUUCAAUUGGAAUCGAGCCAUGAAAUGUGGUUUUCGAUUUCAUGAUAACUUCGGGUUUGUUCGGUUUUAGAGAAUUGCUAGUCUAAUUCGAUUGGAAUCGAGCCAAUGAAACGUGUAUUUCGAUUUCAUGAUAACUUUGGGUCUGUUCAUUUUUGGCGAAUUGCUAGUCCAAUUUGAUUGGAAUCGAGCCAUGAUAUGUGGUUUUCGAUUUCAUGAUAACUUCGGCUUUGUUCAUCUUUGGCGAAUUGCUAGUCAUAUUCGAUUGGAAACGAGUCAACAAAAUGUGGUUUUCGAUUUCAUGAUAACUUCGGAUUUGUUCGUUUUUAGAGAAUUGCAUUCUAAUUCGAUCAGAAUUGAGCCAAAGAAACGUGUAUUUUGAUUUCACGAUAACUUCAGGUCUAUUCUUUUUUGGCGAAUUGCUAGUCUAAUUCGAUUGGAAUCGAACCAUGAAAUGCGGUUUUCGAUUUCAUGAUAACAUCGGGUUCGAUCAUUUUUGGCGAAUUGCUAGUCUAAUUCGAUUGGAAUCGAGCCAAUGAAAUGUGGUUUUCGAUUUCAUGAUAACUUCGGGUUUGUUCAUUUUUGGUGAAUUGCUAGUCUAAUUCGAUUGGAAUCGAGCCAAUGAAAUGUGGUUUUCGAUUUCAUGAUAACUUCGGGUUUGUUCAUUUUUGGUGAAUUGCUAGUCUAAUUCGAUUGGAAUCCAGCCAAUGAAAUGUGGUUUUCGAUUUCUUGAUAACUUCGGGAUUGUUCAUCUUCGCCAAAUUGCUAGUCUAAUUCGAUUGGAAUCGAGCCAGUGAAAAGUGGCUUUCGAUUUCAUGAUAACUUCGGGGUUGUUCAUUUUUAGCGAAUUGCUAGUCUAAUUCGAUUGGAAUCAAGCAAAUGGAAUUUGGUUUUCGGAUGAGCGAAUCGCUAGUCUCGUUCGAUUGGAAUCGAUCAAAUGAAAUGUGGUUUUCGAUUUCAUGAUAACUUUAGGUUUGUUCGUUUUUGGCGAAUUUCUAGUCUAAUUCAAUUGGAAUCGAGCCAUGAAAUGUGGUUUUCGAUUUCAUGAUAACUUCAGGUUUGUUCGUUUUUAGCGAAUUGCUAGUCUAAUUCGAUUGGAAUUGAGCCAAUGAAACGUGUAUUUCGAUUUCAUGACAACAUGGUCUGUUCAAUUUUGGCGAGUUGCUAGUAUAAUUUGAUUGGAAUCGAGCCAUGGAAUGUGGUUUUCGAUUUCAUGAUAACUUCGCGUUUGUUCAUUUUUGGCAAAUUGCUAGUCUAAUACGAUUGGAAUCGAGCCAUAAAAUGUGGUUUUCGAUUUCAUGAUAACUUUAGGUUUGUUCAUUUUUGGCGAAUUACUAAUGUAAUUCGAUUGGAUUCGAGCCAAUGAAAAUUGGUUUUCGAUUUCAUAAUAACUUUUUGUUUGUUUGUUUUUCGCGAAUGGCUAGUCCAAUUCGAUUGAAAUCGAGCCAAUGAAAUGUGGUUUUCGAUUUCAUGAUAACUUCGGGUUUGUUCGUUUUUAGCGAAAUGCUAGUUUAAUUCAAUUGGAAUCAAGCAAAUGGAAUCUGAUUUUCGAUUUCAUGAUAACUUCGGGUUUGUUCAUUUUUGACGAAUUGCUAGUGUAGUUCGAUUGGAAUCGAGCCAAUGAAAUGUGGUUUUCGAUUUCAUGAUAACUUCAGGUUUGUUCUUUUUUGCGAAUUGCUAGUCUAAUUCGAAUGGAAUCGAGCCAUGAAAUGUGGUUUUCGAUUUCAUGAUAAGUUCGGGUUUGUUCAUUUUUAGAAAUUUCCUAGUCUAAUUCAAUUGGAAUCGAGCCAAUGAAACGUGUAUUUUGAUUUCAUGAUAACUUCGGGUCUGUUUAUUUUUGGCGAAUUGCUAGUUUAAUUCGAUUGGAAUCGAGCCAUGAAAUGUGGUUUUCGAUUUCAUGAUAACUUCGCGUUUGUUCAUUUUUGGCGAAUUGCUAGUCUAAUUCGAUUGGAAUCGAGCCAUUAAAUAUGGUUUUCGAUUUCAUGAUAACUUUAGGUUUGGUCAUAUUUAGCGAAUUACUAAUGUAAUUCAAUUGGAAUCAAGCCAAUGAAAAUUGGUUUUCGAAUCUAUAAUAACUUUUUGUCUGUUUGUUUUUGGCGAAUUGCUAGUCUAAUACGAUUGGAAUCGAGCCAAUGAAAUGUGGUUUUCGAUUUCAAGAUAACUCCGUGUUUUUUCAUUUUUGGCGAAUUGAAAGUCUAAUUCGAUUGGAAUCGAGCCAAUGAAAUGUGGUUUUCGGUUUCACGAUAACUUCGGGUUUGUUCAUUUUUAAUGGAUUGCUAGUCUAAUUCGAUUGGAAUCGUGCCAAUGAAAUGUAGUUUUCGAUUUCAUGAUAACUUCGGGUUUGUUCAUUUUUUUGCGAGUUGCUAGUCUAAUUCGAUUGGAAUCGAGCCAAUGAAAUGUGGUUUUCGAUUUCAUGAUAACUUCGGGUUUGUUCUUUUUUGGCGACUUGCAAGUCUUAUUCGAUUGGAAUCGAGUCAACGAAAUGUGGUUUUCGAUUUCAUGAUAACUUCGGGUUUGUUUGUUUUUAGAGAAUUGCUAUUCUAAUUCGAUUGGAAUUGAGCCAAAGAAACGUGUAUUUCGAUUUCACGAUAACGUCGGAUCUAUUCUUUUUUGGCAAAUUGCUAGUCUAGUUCGAUUAGAAUCGAGCCAUGAAAUGUGGUUUUCGAUUUCAUGAUAACUUUAGGUUUGUUCAUUUUUGGCGAAUUACUAAUGUAAUUCGAUUGGAAUCGAACCAAUGAAAAUUGUUUUUUCGAUUUCAUAAUCACUUUUUGUAUGUUCGUUUUUGGCGAAUAGCUAUUCUAAUUCGAUUAGAAUCGAGCCAAUGAAAUGUGGUUUUCGAUUUCGUGAUAACUUCGGGUUUGUUCAUUUUUAGAGAAUUGCUAGUCUAAUUCGAUUGGAAUCGAGCCAAUGAAACGUGUAUUUCGAUUUCGUGAUAACUUCAGGUCUGUUCAUUUUUGGGGAAUUGCUAGUGUAAUUCGAUUGGAAUCAGGCUAUGAAAUGUGGUUUUCGAUUUCAUGACAACUUCGCGUUUGUUCAUUUUUGGCGAAUUGCUACUCUAAUUCGAUUGGAAUCGAGCCAAUGAAAUGUGGUUUUCGAUUUCACGAUAACUUCGGGUUUGUUCAUUUUUGACGAAUUGCUAGUCUAAUUCAAUUGGAAUCGAGCUAAUGAAAUGUAGUUUUCGAUUUCAUGAUAACUUCGUGUUUUUUCAUUUUUUGCUAAUUGCUAGUCUAAUUCGAUUGGAAUCGAGCCAAUGAAGUGUGGUUUUCGAUUUCAUGAUAACUUCGGGUUUGUUCAUUUUUGGAGAAUUGCAAGUCUAAUUCGAUUGGAAUUGAGACAAUGAAAUGUGGUUUUGGAUUUCAUGAUAACUUCACGUUUGUUCAUUUUCGGCGAAUUGCCAGUCUAAUUCGAUUGGAAUCGAGCCAUGAAACGUGGUUUUUGAUUUCAUGAUAACUUUAUGUUUGUUCAUUUUUGGCGAAUUACUAAUGUAAUUCGAUUUGAAUCGAGCCAAUGAAAAUUGGUUUUCAAUUUCAUAAUAACUUUCUGUCUGUUUGUUUUUGGCGAAUAGCUAGUCUAAUUCGAUUAGAAUCGAGCCACUGAAAUGUGUAUGUUGAUUUCAUGUCAACUUCGGGUCUGUUCAUUUUUGGCGAAUUGCUAGUCUAAUUCGAUUGGAAUCGAGCCAAUGAAACGUGUAUGUCGAUUUCAUGUCAACUUCGGGUCUGUUCAUUUUUGGCGAAUUGCUAGUCUAAUUCGAUUGGAAUCGAGCCAAUGAAACGUGUAUGUCGAUUUCAUGUCAACUUCGGGUCUGUUCAUUUUUGGCGAAUUGCUAGUCUAAUUCGAUUGGAAUCGAGCCAAUGAAACGUGUAUGUCGAUUUCAUGUCAACUUCGGGUCUGUUCAUUUUUGGCGAAUUGCUAGUCUAAUUCCAUUGGAAUCGAGCCAUGAAAUGUGGUUUUCGAUUUCAUGAUAACUUUGAGUUUGUUUAUUUUUGGCGAAUUGCUAGUCUAAUUCGAUUACAACGGAGUCAGCGAAAUGUGGUUUUCGAUUUCAUGAUAACUUCUGGUUUGUUCAUUUUAGGCGAAUUGGUAGUCUAAGUCGAUUGGAAUUGAGCCAAUGAAAUGUGAUUUUCGAUUUCAUGAGAACUUCGGGCUUGUUCGUUUUUGGCGAAUUGCUAGACUAAUUCGAUUGGAAUCGAGCCAUGAAAUGUGGUUUUCAAUUUCAUGAUAACUUUAGGUUUGUUCAUUUUUAGCGAAUUGGUAGUCUAAUUCUAUUGGAAUCGAGCCAUUGAAAAUUGUUUUUCGAUUUCAUGAUAACUUUUUGAAUGUUCGUUUUUGGCAAAUAGCUAGUCUAAUUCGAUUGGAAUCGAGCUAAUGAAAUGUGGUUUUCGAUUUCAUGAUAGCUUCGAGUUUGUUCGUUUUUAGCGAAUUGCUAGUCUAAUUCGAUUGGAAUCGAGCCAAUGAAACCUGUGCUUCGAUUUCAUGAUAACUUCGGGUCUGUUCAUUUUUUGGGUAAUUGCUAGUGUCAUUCGAUUGGAAUCGAGUCAUGAAAUGUGGUUUUGAUUUCAUGAUAACUUCAAGUUUGUUCAUUUUUGGCGAAUUGGUAGUCUAAUUCGAUUGGAAUCGAGCCAAUGAAAUGUGGUUUUCGAUUUCAUGAUAACUUCGGGUUUGUUUGCUUUUGGCGAAUUACGAGUCUAAUUCGAUUGGAAUCGCGCCAUGAAAUGUUGUUUUCGAUUUCAUGAUAACUUUAGGUUUGUUCGUUUUUGGCGAAUUACUAAUGCAGUUCGAUUGGAAUCGAGCUAAUGAAAAUUGGUUUUCGAUUUCAUAAUAACUUUUUCUUUGUUUGUUUUUGGCGAAUAGCUAGCCUAAUUUGAUUGGGAUCGAGCCAAUGAAAUGUUGUUUUCGAUUUUAUGAUAACUUCGAGUUUGUUCAUUUUUAGUGAAUUGUUAGUCUAAUUCGACUGGAAUCGAACCAAUGAAACGUGUAUUUCGAUUUCUUGAUAACUUUGGGUCUGUUCAUUUUUGGCGAAUUGCUAGUCUAAUUCGAUUAGAAUCGAGCCAAUAAAAUGUGGUUUUCAAUUUCAUGAUAACUUCGGGUUUAUUCAUUUUUAGAGAAUUGCUAGUCUAAUUCGAUUGGAAUUGAGCCAAAGAAACGUGUAUUUCGAUUUCACGAUAACUUCAGGUCUAUUCUUUUUUGGCGAAUUGCUAGUCUAAUUUGAUUGAAAUCGAACCAUGAAAUGUGGUUUUCGAUUUCAUGAUAACUUUGGGUUUGAUCAUUUUUGGCGAAUUGCUAGGCUAAUUCGAUUGGAAUCAAGCAAAUGGAAUUUGGUUUUCGGAUUCAUGAUAACUUCGGGUUUGUUCGUUUUUGGCGAAUUGCUAGUCUAGUUCGAUUGGAAACGAGCCAAUGAAAUCAUGAUAACUUUAGGUUUGUUUGUUUUUUGCGAAUCGCUAAUCUAAUUCAAUUGGAAUCGAGCCAUGAAAUGUGGUUUUCGAUUUCAUGAUAACUUCGGGUUUGUUUGUUUUUAGCGAAUCGUUAGUCUAACUCGAUUGGAAUCGAGCCAGUGAAACGUGUAUUUCGAUUUCAUGAUAACUUCGGGUCUGUUCAUUUUUGGCGAAUUGCUAGUCUAAUUCGAUUGGAAGCGAGCCAUGAAAUGUGGUUUUCGAUUUCAUGAUAACUUCGCGUUUGUUCAUUUUUGGCGAAUUGCUAGUCUAAUUCGAUUGGAAGCGAGCCAUGAAAUGUGGUUUUCGAUUUCAUGAUAACUUCGCGUUUGUUCAUUUUUGGCGAAUUGCUAGUCUAAUUCGAUUGGAAUCGAGUCAUGAAAUGUGGUUUUCGAUUUCACGAUAACUUUAGGUUUGUUUGUUUUUGGCGAAUUACUAAUGUAAUUCGAUUGGAAUCGAGCCAACGAAAAUUGGUUUUCGAUUUCAUAAUAACUUUUUGUCAGUUUAUUUUUGGCGAGUAGCUAGUCUAAUUCGAUUGGAAUCGAGCCAAUGAAACGUGAUUUCCGAUUUCAUGAUAACUUCGGGUUUGUUCAUUUUUAGCGAACUGCUAGUCUAAUUCGAUUGGAAUCAAGCAAAUGGAAUUUGGUUUUCGGUUUCAUGAUAAAUUCGGGUUUGUUCAUUUUUGGCGAAUUGCUAGUCUAGUUCGAUUGGAGUGGAGCCAAUGAAAUAUGGUUUUCGAUCUCAUGAUAACUUCAGGUUUGUUCGUUUUUGGCGAAUUGCUAGUCUAAUUCGAGUGGAAUCGAGCCUGAAAUGUGGUUUUCGAUUUUAUGAUAACUUCGAGUUUGUUCGUUUUUAGCGAUUUGCUAGUCUAAUUCGGUUGGAAUUGAGCCAAUGAAAUGUCUAUUUCGAUUUCAUGAUAACUUCCGGUCUGUUCAUUUCUGGCGAAUUGCUAUUCUAAUUCGAUUGGAAUCGAGCCAUGAAAUGUGGUUUUCGAUUUCAAGAUAACUUCGCGUUUGUUCAGUUUUGGCGAAUUGCUAAUCUAAUUCAAUUGGAAUCGAGCCAUGAAAUGUGGUUUUCGAUUUUGUGAUAACUUUAGGUUUGUUCAUUUUUGGCGAAUUACUAAUGUCAUUCGAUUGGAAUCGAGCCAAUGAAAAUUGGUUUUUGAAUUUAUAAUAACGUUUUGUCAGUUUGUUUUUGGCGAAUAGCUAGUCUAAUUCGAUUGGAAUCGAGCCAAUGAAAUGUGGUUUUCGAUUUUAAGAUAACUCUGGGUUUGUUCAUUUUUGGCGAAUUGCAAGUCUAAUUCAAUUAGAAUCGAGCCAAUGAAAUGUGGUUUUCAAUUUCACGAUAACUUCGGAUUUGUUCAUUUUUAACGGAUUGCUAGUCUAAUUCGAUUGGAAACGAGCCAAUGAAAUGUGGUUUUCGAUUACAUGAUAACUUCGGGUUUGUUCAUUUUUGGCGAAUUGCUAGUCUUAUCCGAUUGGCAUCGAGUCGACGAAAUGUAGUUUUCGAUUUCAAGAUAACUUCGGGUUUGUUUGUUUUUGACGAAUUGCUAGUCUAAUUCGAUUGGAAUGGAACAAGUGAAAAGUUGCUUUUGAUUUAAUGAUAACUUCGGGUUUGUUUGUUUUUGACCAAUUGCUAGUCCAAUUUGAUUAGAAUCGAUCCAAUGAAAUGUGGUUUUCGAUUUCAUGAUAACGUCGGGUUUGUUCAUUUUUAGAGAAUUGCUAGUCUAAUUUGAUUGGAAUUGAACCAAAGAAACGUGUAUUUCGAUUUCACGAUAACUUCGGGUCUAUUCUUUUUUGGCGAAUUGCUAGUCUAAUUCGAUUGGAAUCGAACCAUGAAAUGUGGUUUUUGAUUUCAUGAUAACUUCGGGUUUGAUCCUUUUUGGCGAAUUGCUAGUCUAAUUCGAUUGGAAUCAAGCAAAUGGAAUUUGGUUUUCAGUUUCAUGAUAACUUCGGGUUUGUUCGUUUUUGGCGAAUUGCUAGCCUAGUUCGAUUGGAAUCAAGCCAAUGAAUUGUGGUUUUCGAUUUCAUGAUAACUUCAAGUUUGUUCAUUUUUGGCGAAUUGCUAGUCUAAUUCAAUUGGAAUCGAGCAAUGAAAUGUGGUUUUCGAUUUCAUGAUAACUUCGGGUUUGUUCUUUUUUGCGAAUUACUAGUCUAAUUCGAUUGGAAUCGAGCCAAUGAAACGUGCAUUUCGAUUUCAUGAUAAUUUCGGGUCUUUUCAUUUUUGGCGAAUUCUAGUCUAAUUCGAUCGGAAUCGAGCCAUGAAAUGUGAUUUUCGAUUUCAUGAUAACUUCGCGCUUGUUCAUUUUUGGCGAAUUGCUAGUCUAUUUCAAUUGGAAUCGAGCCAUGAAAUGUGGUUUUCGAUUUCAUGAUAACUUUAGGUUUGUUCAUUUUUGGCGAAUUACUAAUGUAAUUUGAUUGGAAUCGAGCCAAUUAAAAUUGGUUUUCGAAUUUAUAAUAACUUUUUGUCUGUUUGUUUUUGGCGAAUAGCUAGUCUAAUUCGAUUGGAAUCGAGCCAAUGAAAUGUGGUUUUCGAUUUCAAGAUAACUUCGGGUUUGUUCAUUUUUGGCGAAUUGCAAGUCUAAUUCAGUUGGAAUCGAACCAAUGAAAUGUGGUUUUCGAUUUCACGAUAACUUCGGGUUUGUUCAUUUUUAACGAAUUGCUAGUCUAAUUCGAUUGGAAUCGAGCCAAAGAAAUGUGGUUUUCGAUUUCAAGAUAACUUCGGGUUUGUUCAUUUUUUACGAAUUGCUAGUCUAAUUCGAUUGGAAUCGAGCCAAUGAAAUGUGGUUUUUGAUUUCAUGAUAACUUCGAGUUUGUUCAUUUUUGACGAAUUGCUAGUCUUAUUCGAUUGGUAUCGAGUCGAAGAAAUGUGGUUUUCAAUUUCAUGAUAACUUCGGGUUUGUUUGUUUUUGGCGAACUGCUAGUCUAAUUCGAUUGGAAUCGAACCAGUGAAAAGUUGCUUUUGAUUUAAUGAAAACUUCAGGUUUGUUUGGUUUUGGAGAAUUGCUGUCUAAUUUGAUUAGAAUCGAGCCAAUGAAAUGUGGUUUACGAUUUAAUGAUAACUUCAGAUUUGUUCGUUUUUAGAGAAUUGCUGGUCUAAUUCGACUGGAAUUGAGCUAAAGGAACGUGUAUUUCGAUUUCAAGAAAACUUCAGGUCUAUUCUUUUUUGGCGAAUUGCUAGUCUAAUUCGAUUGGAAUCGAACCAUGAAAUGUGGUUUUCGAUUUCAUGAUAUCUUCGGGUUUGAUCAUUUUUGGCGAAUUGCUAGUCUAAUUCGAUUGAAAUCAAGCAAAUGGAAUUUGGUUUUCGAUUUCAUGAUAACUUCAGGUUUGUUCGUUUUUGGCGAAUUGCUAGUCCAAUUCAAUUGGAAUCGAGCCAAUGAAACGUGGUUUUCGAUAUCAUGAUAACUUCAGGUUUCUUCAUUUUUGGUGAAUUGCUAAUCUAAUUUGAUUGGAAUCGGGCCAAUGAAAUGCGAUUUUUGAUUUCAUGAUAACUUCGGGUUCGGUCGUUUUUGGCGAAUUGCUAGUCUGAUUCUACUGGAAUCGAACCAUGAAAUGUGGUUUUCAUUUUCACGUUAACUUUGGGUUUGUUCAUUUUUGGUGAAUCGCUAGUCUGAUUCGAUUGGAAUCGAGCCAAUGAAAUGUGGUUUUCUAUUUCAAGAUAACUUCGGGUUUCUUCCUUUUUGGCGAAUUGCUAGUCUGAUUCGACUGGAAUCGAGCCAUGAAAUGUUGUUUUCGUUUGCAUGAUAACAUCGGGUUUUUUCAUUUUUGGCGAAUUGCUAGUCUGAUUCGAUUGGAAUCGAGCCAAUGAAAUGUGGUUUUCGAUUUCAAGAUAACUUCGGGUUUGUUCAUUUUUGGCGAAUUGCUAGCCUUAUUCGAUUUUAAUUGAGCCAAUGAAAUGUGGUUUUCGAUUUCUUGAUAACUUCGAGUUUGUUCAUUUUUGGCGAAUUGCUAGUCUUAUUCGAUUGGAAUCAAGCCAAUGAAACGUGUAUUUCAAUUUCAUGAUAACUGCAUGUUUGUUCCAUUUUGAUGAAUUGCUAAUCUAAUUCGAUUAGAAUCGAGCCACGAAAUGUGGUUUUGGAUUUCACGAUAACUUCGGAUUUUAUCAUUUUCGACGAAUUGCUAGUCUAAUUCGGUUGGAAUCAAGACAACGGAAUGUGGUUUUCGACUUCGUGAUAAAUUUGGGUUUGUUCAUUUGUGGUGAAUUGCUAAUCUAAUUUGAUUGGAAUCGAGCCAACGAAAUCUGGUUUUCGAUUUCAUGAUAACUUCGGGUUUGGACGUUUUUGGCGAAUAGCUAGUCUAAUUCGAUUGGAAUCGAGCCAUAAAAUGUGGUUUUCGAUUUCAUGAUAACUUCGGGUUUGUUCGUUUUUGGCGAAAUGCUAGUCUAAUUCGAUUGGAAUAAAGCCAAUCAAAUGUGUAUUUUGAUUUCAUGAUAACUUCAGGUUUGUUCAUUUUUGGCGAAUUGCUAGUCUAAUUCGAAUGGAAUCGAGCCAUGAAAUGUGGUUUUCGAUUUUAUGAUGACUUCGAGUUUAUUCAUUUUUAGCGAUUUGCUAGUCUAAUUCGAUUGGAAUCGAGCCAAUGAAACGUGUAUUUCGAUUUCAUGAUAACUUCAGGUCUGUUCAUUUUUUACGAAUUGCUAUUCUAAUUCGAUUGGAAUCGAGCCAUGAAAUUUGGUUUCCGAUUUCAAGAUAACUUCGCAUUUGUUCAUUUUUGGUGAAUUGCUAAUCUAAUUAGAUUGGUAUUGAGCCGUGCAAUGUGGUUUUCGAUUUCAUGAUAACUUUUGGUUUGUUCAUUUUUGGCGAAUUACUAAUGUAAUUCGAUUGGAAUCGAGCCAAUGAAAAUUGGUUUUUGAAUUUAUAAUAACGUUUUGUCAGUUUGUUUUUGGCAAAUAGUUAGUCUAAUUCGAUUGGAAUCGAGCCAAUGAAAUGUGGUUAUCAAUUUCAAGAUAACUCUGGGUUUGUUCAUUUUUGGCAAAUUGCAAGUCUAAUUCGAUUGGAAUCGAGCCAAUGAAAUGUGGUUUUCGAUUUCACGAUAACUUAGGGUUUGUUUAUUUUUAAUGAAUUGCUAGUCUAGUUCGAUUGGAAUCGAGCCAAUGAAAUGCGGUUUUCGAUUUCAUGAUAACUUCGGGUUUGUUCAUUUUUUUGCGAAUUGCUAGUCUAAUUCGAUUGGAAUCGAGCCAAUGAAGUGUGGUUUUCGAUUUCAUGAUAACUUCGGGUUUGUUCAUUUUUGGCGAAUUGCUAGUCUUAUUCGAUUGGAAUCGAGCCAAUGAAAUGUUGUUUUCGAUUUCAAGAUAACUUCGGGUUUGUUCUUUUUGGCGAAUUGCUAGUCUUAUUCGAUUGGAAUCGAGCCAAUGAAAUGUGGUUUUUGAUUUUGAGAUAACUUCGGGUUUGAUCAUUUUUUGAGAAUUGCAAGUCUAAUUCGAUUGGAAUCGAGACAGUGAAAUGUGGUUUUCGAUUUGACGAUAACUUUGGGUUUGUUCAUUUUUAACGAAUUGCUAGUCUAACUCGAUUGGAAUCGAGCCAAUGAAAUGUGGUUUUCGAUUUCAUGAUAACUUCGGGUUUGUUUAUUUUCUGCGAAUUGCUAGUCUAAUUCGAUUGGAAUAGAGCCAAUGAAAUGAGGUUUUCGAUUUCAUGAUAACUUCGGGUUUGUUCAUUUUUGGCGAAUUGCUAGUCUUAUACGAUUGGAAUCGAGUCGACGAAAUGUGGUUUUCGAUUUCAUAAUAACUUUGGGUUUGUUUGUUUUUGGCGAAUUGCUAGUCUAAUUCGAUUAGAAUCGAACAAGUGAAAAGUUGCUUCUGAUUUAAUGAUAACUUCGGGUUUGUUUGUUUUUCGCGAAUUGCUAGUCUAAUUUGAUUAGAAUCGAUCCAAUGAAAUGUGGUUUUCGAUUUCAUGAUAACUUUGGGUUUGUUUAUUUUUUACGAAUUGCUAGUCUGAUUCGAUUGGAAUCGAGCCAUGAAAUGUGGUUUUCGAUUUCAUGAUAACUUCGGGUUCGGUCGUUUUUGGCGAAUAGCUAGUCUAAUUCUAUUGGAAUCGAGCCAUGAAAUGUGGUUUUCGAUUUCAUGAUAACUUCGGGUUUGUUUGUUUUUGGCGAACUGCUAGUCUAAUUCGAUUGGAAUCGAACCAGUGAAAAGUUGCUUUCGAUUUAAUGAUAAAUUCGGAUUUGUUCGUUUUUAGAGAAUUGCUAGUCCAAUUCGAUUGGAAUUGAGCUAAAGGAAAGUGUAUUUCGAUUUCAUGAUAGCUUCAGGUCUAUUCUUUUUUGGCGAAUUGCUAGUCUAAUUCGUUUGGAAUCGAACCAUGAAAUGUGGUUUUCAAUUUCAUGAUAACUUUGGGUUUGAUCAUUUUUGGCGAAUUGCUAGUCUAAUUCGAUUGGAAUCAAGCAAAUGGAAUUUGGUUUUCGGUUUCAUGAUAACUUCAGGUUUGUUCGUUUUUGGUGAAUUGCUAGCCUAAUUCGAUUGGAAUCAAGCAAAUGGAAUUUGGUUUUCGGUUUCAUGAUAACUUCAGGUUUGUUCGUUUUUGGUGAAUUGCUAGCCUAAUUCGAUUGGAAUCAAGCCAAUGAGACGUGGUUUUUUAUUUCAUGAUAACUUUGGGUUUUAUCAUUUUUAGCGAAUUGCUAGUCUAAUUCGAUUGGAAUCAAGCAAAUGGAAUUUGGUUUUCGAUUUCAUAAUGACUUCGGGUUUGUUCGUUUUUGGCGAAUUGCUAGUCUAAUUUGACUGGAAUCGAGCCAAUGAAAUGUGGUUUUCGAUUUCAUGAUAACUUUUGGUGUGUUCAUUUUUGGCGAAUUGCUAGUCUAAUUCGAUUGGAAUCGAGCCAAUGAAAUGUGGCUUUUGAUUUCAUGAUAAAUUCGGGUUUCUUCAUUUCUGGCGAAUUGCUAAUCUAAUUUAAUUGGAAUCGAGCCAAUGAAAUGUGAUUUUUGAUUUCAUGAUGACUUCGGGUUCGGUCCUUUUUGGCGAAUUGCUAGUCUGACUCUACUGGAAUCGAACCAUGAAAUGUGGUUUUCAUUUUCAUGUUAACUUUGGGUUUGUUCAUUUUUGGCAAAUCGCUAAUCUGAUUUGAUUGGAAUCGAGCCAAUGAAAUGUGGUUUUCGAUUUCAUGAUAAUUUCAGGUUUGUUCCUUUUUGGCGAAUUGCUAGUCUGAUUCGACUGGAAUCGAGCCAUGAAAUGUUGUUUUCGUUUUCAUGAUAACAUCGUGUUUGUUCAUUUUUGGCGAAUUGCUAGUCUAAUUCGAUUGGAAUCGAGACAUUGAAAUGUGGUUUUCGAUUUCAAGAUAACUUCGGGUUCGUUCGUUUUUGGCGCAUUGCUAGUCUUAUUCGAUUUUAAUCGAGCCAAUGAAAUGUGGUUUUCGAUUUCAUGAUAACUUCGGGUUUGUUCGUUUUUGGCGAAUUGCUAGUCUAGUUCGAUUGGAAUCAAGCCAAUGAAACGUGUAUUUCAAUUUCAAGAUAACUACGGGUUUGUUCAUUUUUGACGAAUUGCUAGUCUAAUUUGAUUGGAAUCGAGCCAUGAAAUGUGGUUUUCGAUUUCAUAUUAACUUUUUGUUUGUUCGUUUUUGGCGAAUAGCUAGUCUAAUUCGAUUGGAAACGAGCCAAUGAAAUGUGGUUUUUGAUUUCUUGAUAACUUUAGGUUUGUUCCUUUUUAGCGAAUUGCUUGCCUAAUUCGAUUGGAAUCGAGCUAAUGAAACGUGUACUUCGAUUUCAUGAUAACUUCGGGUCUGUUCAUUUUUGGCGAAUUGCUAGUCUAAUUCGAUUGGAAUUGAGCCAUUAAAUGAGUUUUUCGAUAUCUUGAUAACUUUGGGUUUGUUCAUUUUUGACGAAUUGCUAGUGUAAUUCGAUUGGAAUCGAGCCAAUGAAAUGUGGUUUUUGAUUUCAUGAUAACUUUGGGCUAAUACAUUUAUGGAGAAUUGCUAUUCAAAUUCGAUUGGAAUCGAGCCAAUGAAAUGUUGUUUUCGAUUUCAUGAUAACUUCGGGUUUGCUCGUUUUUGACGAAUUGCUAGUCUAAUUCGACUAGAAUCGGGCCAUGAAAUGUGGUUUUCUAUUUCAUGAUAACUUCGGGUUUGUUCAUUUUUGGCGAAUUGGUAGUCUAAUUCGUCUGCAAUCCAGUCAUGAAAUGUGGUUUUCGAUUUCAGUAUAGCUUCGGGUUUGUUCAUUUUUGGCGAAUUGCUAGUCUGAUUCGACUGGAAUCGAGCCAUGAAAUGUUGUUUUCGUUUUCAAGAUAACUUUGGGUUUGUUCAUUUUUGGCGAAGUGCUAGUCUAAUUCGAUUAAAAUCGAGCCAAUGAAAUGUGGUUUUCGAUUUCAUGAUACCUUCGGGUUCGGUCAUUUUUGGCGAAUAGCUAGUCUAAUUCGAUUGGAAUCGAGCCCACGAAAUGUGGUUUUUGAUUUCUUGAUAAAUUCGGGUUUGUUCAUUUUUGGCGAAUUACUAGUCUGAUUCGAUUGGAAUCGAGCCAAUGAAAUGUGGUUUUCGAAUUCAUGAUAACUUCAGGUUUUAUCAUUUUUGGCGAAUUGCUAGUCUAAUUCGAUUGGAAUCGAGCCCACGAAAUGUGGUUUUUGAUUUCUUGAUAAAUUCGGGUUUGUUCAUUUUUGGCGAAUUGCUAAUCUAAUUUGACUGGAAUCGAGCCAAUGAAAUGUGAUUUUCGAUUUCAUGAUACCUUCGGGUUCGGUCAUUUUUGGCGAAUAGCUAGUCUAAUUCGAUUGGAAUCGAGCCAUGAAAUGUGGUUUUCGAUUUCAUGAUAACUUUGGGUUUGUUCAUUUUUGGCGAAGUGCUAGUCUAAUUCGAUUAAAAUCGAGCCAAUGAAAUGUGGUUUUCGAUUUCAUGAUAACUUCGGGUUCGGUCAUUUUUGGCGAAUAGCUAGUCUAAUUCGAUUGGAAUCGAGCCAUGAAAUGUGGUUUUCUAUUUCAUGAUAACUUCGGGUUUGUUCAUUUUUGGCGAAUUGGUAGUCUGAUUCGUCUACAAUCCAGUCAUGAAAUGUGGUUUUCGAUUUCAGUAUAAGUUCGGGUUUGUUCAUUUUUGGUGAAUUGCUAGUCUGAUUCGACUGGAAUCGAGCCAUGAAAUGUUGUUUUCGUUUUCAUGAUAACUUCGGGUUAGUUCAUUUUUGGCGAAUUGCUAGUCUGAUUCGAUUGGAAUCGAGCCAAUGAAAUGUGGUUUUCGAUUUCAUGAUAACUUCGGGUUUGUUCAUUUUUGGCGAAUUGCUAGCCUAAUUCGAUUGGAAUCGAGCCAAUGAAAUGUGGUUUUCGAAUUCAUGAUAACUUCAGGUUUUAUCAUUUUUGGCAAAUUACUAGUCUAAUUCGAUUGGAAUCGAGCCCACGAAAUGUGGUUUUCGAUUUCAUGAUAAAUUCGGGUUUGUUCAUUUUUAGCGAAUUGCUAAUCUAAUUUGAUUGGAAUCGAGCCAAUGAAAUGUGGUUUUCGAUUUCAUGAUAACUUCGGGUUCGGUCAUUUUUGGCGAAUAGCUAGUCUAAUUCGAUUGGAAUCGAGCCAUGAAAUGUGGUUUUCGAUUUCAUGAUAACUUUGGGUUUGUUCGUUUUUGGCGAAGUGCUAGUCUAAUUUGAUUAAAAUCGAGCCAAUGAAACGUUGUUUUCGAUUUCAGGAUAACUUCGGGUUUGUCCGUUAUUGGCGAAUUGCUAGUCUAAUUUGACUGGAUUUGAGCCAAUGAAAUGUGGUUUUCGAUUCCAUGAUAACUUCAGGUUUGUUCAUUUUUAGCGAAUAGCUAGUCUAAUUCGAUUGGAAUCUAGCCAAUGAAAUGUGGUUUUCGUUUUCAUGAUAACUUCGGUUUAUUCGUUAUUGGCGAAUUGCUAGUCCAAUUGGAUUGGAAUCGAGCAAAUGAAAUUUGGUUUUCGAUUUCAUGAGAACUUCGGGUUUGUUCAUUUUUGGCGAAAUGCAAGUCUAAGUAGAUUGGAAUCGAGCCGAUGAAAUGUCGUUUUCAAUUUCAUGACAACAAAUAACUUCGGGUUUUCUCAUUUCGGGUGAAUUGCUAGUCUAAUUUGAUUGGAAUCGAGCCCGUGAAAAGUGGCUUUUGAUUUCAUGAUAAUUUCGAUUUUGUUUGUUUUUGGCGAAUUGCUAGUCUAAUUCGAUUGGAAUCGAGCCAAUGAAAUGUGAUUUUCGAUUAAAUGAUAACUUCGGGUUUGUUCAUUUUUAGCGAAUUGCUAGUCUAAUUAGAUUGGAAUCAAGCCGACGAAACGUGUAUUUCGAUUUCAUGAUAACUUCGGGUCUGUUAUUUUUGGCGAAUUCUAGUCUAAUUCGAUUGGAAUCGAGCCAUGAAAUGUUGUUUUCGAUUUCAUGAUGACUUCGAGUUUGUUCAUUUUUGGCGAACCGCUAGUCUAAUUUGAUUUGAAUCGAGCCAAAGAAUUGUGGUUUUCGAUUUCAUGAUAACUUCGGGUUUGUUCAUUUUUGGCGAAUUGUUAGUCUAAUUCAAUUGGAAUCGAGCCAUGAAAUGUGGUUUUCGAUUUCAUGAUAACCCGUUGUUAGCGAAUUACUAGUCUAAUUUGAUUGGAAUCGAGCCAAUUAAAUGUGGUUUUCGAUUUCAUGAUAACUUCGGGUUUUCUCAUUUUUGGCGAAUUGCUAGUCCAAUUCGACUGGAAUCGAGCCAAUGAAACGUGGUUUUUGAUUUCAUAAUAACUUCGGGUUUCUUCGUUUUUGGCGAAUUGCUAGUCUAAUUCGACUGGAAUCGAGCCGUGAAAUGUGGUUUUCGAGUUUGUUCCAUUUUGGCAUAUUGCCAGUCUGAUUCGAUUGGAAUCGAGCCAAUGAAACGUGUAUUUCGAUUAAAUGAGAACUUCGGGUCUGUUCAUUUUUGGCAAAUUGCUAUUCUACCUCGAUUGGAAUGGAGCCAUGAAAUGUUGUUAUCGGUUUCAUGAUAACUUCUGGUUUGUUUAUUUUUGGUGAAUUGCUAGUCUAAUUCGAUUGAAAUCGAACCAAUGAAAAUUCUUUCUCGAUUUCAUAUUAACUUUUUGUUUGUUCAUUUUUGGCGAAUAGCUAGUCUAAUUCGAUUGGAAACGAGCCAAUGAAAUGUGGUUUUUGAUUUCAUGAUAACUUUGGGUUUGUUCCUUUUUAGCGAAUUGCUUGCCUAAUUCGAUUGGAAUCGAGCCAAUGAAUCAUGUACUUCGAUUUCAUGAUAACUUCGGGUCUGUUCAUUUUUGGCGAAUUGCUAGUCUAAUUCGAUUGGAAUUGAGCCAUUAAAUGAGUUUUUCGAUUUCUUGAUAACUUUGGGUUUGUUCAUUUUUGACGAAUUGCUAGUGUAAUUCGAUUGGAAUCGAGCCGAUGAAAUCUGGUUUUCGAUUUCAUGAUAACUUUGGGUUUGUACAUUUAUGGAGAAUUGCUAUUCAAAUUCGAUUGGAAUCGAGCCAAUGAAAUGUUGUUUUCGAUUUCAUGAUAACUUCGGGUUUGCUCGUUUUUGGCGAAUUGCUAGUCUAAUUCGACUAGAAUCGAGCCAUGAAAUGUGGUUUUCUAUUUCAUGAUAACUUCGGGUUUGUUCAUUUUUGGCGAAUUGGUAGUCUGAUUCGUCUGCAAUCCAGUCAUGAAAUGUGGUUUUCGAUUUCAGUAUAGCUCCGGGUUUGUUCAUUUUUGGCGAAUUGCUAGUCUGAUUCGACUGGAAUCGAGCCAUGAAAUGUUGUUUUCGUUUUCAAGAUAACUUUGGGUUUGUUCAUUUUUGGCGAAUUACUAGUCUGAUUCGAUUGGAAUCGAGCCAAUGAAAUGUGGUUUUCGAUUUCAUGAUAACUUUGGGUUUGUUCAUUUUUGGCGAAUUACUAGUCUGAUUCGAUUGGAAUCGAGCCAAUGAAAUGUGGUUUUCGACUUCAUGAUAACUUCGGGUUUUUUCAUUUUUGGCGAAUUACUAGCCUAAUUCGAUUGGAAUCAAGCCAAUGAAAUGUGGUUUUCGAAUUCAUGAUAACUUCAGGUUUUAUCAUUUUUGGCGAAUUGCUAGUCUAAUUCGAUUGGAAUCGAGCCCACGAAAUGUGGUUUUUGAUUUCUUGAUAAAUUCGGGUUUGUUCAUUUUUAGCGAAUUGCUAAUCUAAUUUGAUUGGAAUCGAGCCAAUGAAAUGUGGUUUUCGAUUUCAUGAUAACUUCGGGUUCGGUCAUUUUUGGCGAAUAGCUAGUCUAAUUCGAUUGGAAUCGAGCCAUGAAAUGUGGUUUUCGAUUUCAUGAUAACUUUGGGUUUGUUCAUUUUUGGCGAAGUGCUAGUCUAAUUCGAUUAAAAUCGAGCCAAUGAAAUGUGGUUUUCGAUUUCAUGAUAACUUCGGGUUCGGUCAUUUUUGGCGAAUAGCUAGUCUAAUUCGAUUGGAAUCGAGCCAUGAAAUGUGGUUUUUGAUUUCAUGAUAACUUUGGGUUUGUUCAUUUUUGGCGAAGUGCUAGUCUAAUUCGAUUAAAAUCGAGCCAAUGAAACGUUGUUUUCGAUUUUAGGAUAAUUUCGGGUUUGUUCGUUAUUGGCGAAUUGCUAGUCUAAUUCGACUGGAUUUGAGCCAAUGAAAUGUGGUUUUUGAUUUCAUGAUAACUUCGGGUUUGUUCAUUUUUAGCGAAUAGCUAGUCUAAUUCAAUCGGAAUCUAGCCAAUGAAAUGUGGUUUUCGAUUUCAUGAUAACUUCGGGUUUGUUCGUUAUUGGCGAAUUGGUAGUCCAAUUGGAUUGGAAUCGAGCAAAUGAAAUGUUUUUUUCAAUUUCAUGAUAACUUCGGGUUUGUUCAUUUUUGGCGAAAUGCUAGUCUAAGUAGAUUGGAAUCGAGCCAAUGAAAUGUCGUUUUCGAUUUCAUGACAACAAAUAACUUCGGGUUUGCUCAUUUCAGGUGAAUUGCUUGUCUAAUUCUAUUGGAAUCGAGCCCGUGAAAAGUGGCUUUUGAUUUCAUGAUAAGUUCGAUUUUGUUUGUUUUUGACGAAUUGCUAGUCUAAUUCGAUUGGAAUCGAGCCAAUGAAAUGCGAUUUUCGAUUAAAUGAUAACUUCGGGUUUGUUCAUUUUUAGCGAAUUGCUAGUCUAAUUAGAUUGGAAUCGAGCCGACGAAACGUGUAUUUCGAUUUCAUGAUAACUUCGGGUCUAUUAUUUUUGGCGAAUUCUAGUCUAAUUCGAUUGGAAUCGAGCCAUGAAAUGUUGUUUUCGAUUUCGUGAUGACUUCGAGUUUGUUCAUUUUUGGCGAACCGCUAGUCUAAUUCGAUUGGAAUCGAGCCAAUGAAAUUGGUUUUCGAUUUCAUGAUAACUUCGGGCUUGUUCAUUUUUGGCGAAUUGUUAGUCUAAUUCAAUUGGAAUCGAGUCAUGAAAUGUGGUUUUCGAUUUCAUAAUAACUUUACGUUUGUUCGUUGUUGGCGAAUUGCUAGUCUAAUUUGAUUGGAAUCGAGCCAAUGGAAUGUGGUUUUCGAUUUCAUGAUAACUUCGGGUUUGUUCAUUUUUGGCGAAUUACUAGUCCAAUUCGACUGGAAUCGAGCCUAUGAAACGUGGUUUUCGAUUUCAUAAUAAUUUUGGGUUUCUUCGUUUUUGGCAAAUUGCUAGUCUAAUUCGACUGGAAUCGAGCCAUCAAAUGUGGUUUUCGAUUUCAUGAUAACUUCGCGUUUGUUCAUUUUUGGCGAAUUGAUAGUCUAAUUCGAUUGGAAUCGAGCCAAUGAAACGUGGUUUUCGAUUUCAUGAUAACUUCGGGUUUGUUCAUUUUUGGCGAAAUGCUUGUCUAAUUCGAUUGGAAUCAAGCCAAUCAAAUGUGGUUUUCGAUUUCCUGAUAACUUCGGGUUUGUUCCUUUUUGACGAAUAGCUAGUCUAAUUCGAUUGGAAUCGAGCCAAUGAAAUGUGGUUUUCGAUUUCAUGAUAACUACGGGUUUUUUCAUUUCUGGCGAAUUGCUAGUCUGAUUCGAUUGGUUUCGAGUCAAUGAAAUGUGGUUUUCGAUUUCAUGAUAACUUCGGGUUUGUUCAUUUUUGGCGAAUUGCUGGUCCAAUUUGAUUGGAAUCGAGCCAAUGAAAUGUGAUUUUCGAUUUCAUGAGAACAAAUAACUUCGAGUUUGUUCAUUUUUGGCGAAUUGCUAGUCUAAUUCGAUUGGAAUCGAGCCAGUGAAAAGUAGCUUUUGAUUUCAUGAUAACUUCGGUUUUGUUUGUUUUGGGCAAAUUGCUAGUCUAAUUCGAUUGGAAUUGAGCCAAUGACAAGUGAUUUUCGAUUAAAUGAUAACUUUGGGUUUGUUCAUUUUUUGCGAACUGGUAGUCUAAUUCGAUUGGAAUCGAGCCAAUGAAACGUGUAUUUCGAUUUCAUGAUAACUUCGGGUAUGUUAUUUUUGGCGAAUUGCUAGUCUAAUUCGAUUGGAAUCGAGCCAUGAAAUGUUGUUUUCGAUUUCAUGAUAACUUUGGGUUUGUUCAUUUUUGGCGAAUUGGUAGUCUAAUUCGAUUGGAAUCGAGCCAAUGAAAUGUGGUUUUUGAUUUCAUGAUAAGUUUUGGUUUGUUCAUUUAUGGCGAAUUGCUAGUCUAAUUCGAUUGGAAUUGAGCCAAUGAAAUGUGGUUUUCGAUUUCAUGAUAACUUCAGGUUUGUUCAUUUUUAGCGAAUUGCUAGUCUCAUUCGAUUGGAAUCGAGCCACUGAAACGUUUAUUUCGAUUUCAUGAUAACUUCAGGUCUAUUCAUUUUUGGCAAAUUCUUAGUCUAAUUCGAUUGGAAUCGAGCCAUAAAAUGUGGUUAUCGAUUUCAUGAUAACUUCUGGUUUGUUUACUUUUGGCGAAUUACUAGUCUAAUUCGAUUGAAAUCGAACCAAUGAAAAUUGUUUCUCGAUUUCAUAAUAAAUUUUUGUUUGUUCGUUUUUAGCGAAUAGCUAGUCUAAUUCGAUUGGAAUCGAGCCAUUGAAAUGUGAUUUUUGAGUUCAUGAUAACUUCAGGUUUGUUCAUUUUUUGCGAAAUGCUAGUAUAGUUCUAUUGGAAUCGAGCCAAUGAAAUGUGGCUUUCGAUUUCAUGAUAACAAAUAACUUCGGGUUUGUUCAAUUUUGGCGAAUUUUGUUUGUUUUUGGCGAAUCGCUAGUCUAAUUCGAUUGGAAUCGAGCCAAUCAAAUGUGGUUUUCGAUUAAAUGAUAACUUCGGGUUCGUUCAUUUUUAGCGAAUUGCUAGUCUAAUUCGAUUGGACUAGAGCCAAUGAAACUUGUAUUUCGAUUUCAUGAUAACUUCGGGUAUGUUAUUUUUUGGCGAAUUGCUAGUCUAAUUCAAUUGGAAUCGAGCCAUGAAAUGUAGUUUUCGAUUUCCUGGUAACUUCGGGCUUGUUCGUUUUUGGCGAAUUGCUAGUCUAAUUCGAUUUGAAUCGAGCCAAUGAAACGUGUAUUUCGAUUUCAUGAUAACUUCGGCUCUGUUUAUUUUUGGCAAAUUGCUAGUCUAAUUCGAUUUGAAUCGAGCCAAUGAAACGUGUAUUUCGAUUUCAAGAUAACUUUUGGUCUUCUCAUUUUUGGCGAAUUGCUAGUCUAAUUCGAUUGGAUUCGAGCCAUGAAAUGUGGUUUUAGAUUUCACGAUAACUUCGGGUUUGUUCAAUUUUGGCGAAUUGUUAGUCUAACUCGAUUGGAAUGGAGCCAAUGAAAUGUGGUUUUCGAUUUCACGAUAACUUCGGGCUUGUUCAUUUUUAGCAAAUUGCUGAUCUAAUUCGAUUGGAAUCGAGCCAAUGAAACGUGUUUUUCGAUUACAUGAUAACUUCGGGUCUGUUCAUUUUUGGCAAAUUGCUAGUCUAACUCGAUUGGAAUGGAGCCAUGAAAUGUGGUUAUCGGUUUCAUGAUAACUUCUAGUUUGUUUAUUUUUGGGGAAUUGCUAGUCUGAAUCGAUUGAAAUCGAACCAAUAAAAAUUCUUUCUCGAUUUCAUAUUAACAUUUUAUUUUUUUGUUUUUGGCGCAUAGCGAGUAUAAUUCGAUUGGAAACGAGCCAACGAAAUGUGGUUUUCGAUUUCAUGAUAACUUCGGGUUUGUUCCUUUUUAGCGAAUUGCUUGUCUAAUUCAACUGGAAUCGAGCCAAUGAAACGUGUACUUCGAUUUCAUGAUAACUUUGGGUCUGUUCAUUUUUGGCGAAUUGCUAGUCUAAUUCGAUUGGAAUUGAGCCAUUAAAUGAGGUUUUCGAUUUCUUGAUAACUUUGCGUUUGUUCAUUUUUGACGAAUUGCUAGUGUAAUUCGAUUGGAAUCGUGCCAAUGAAAUGUGGUUUUCGAUUACAUGAUAACUUUGGGUUUAUUCAUUUAUGGAGAAUUGCUAUUCAAAUUCGAUUGGAAUCGAGCCAAUGAAAUGUUGUUUUCGAUUUCAAGAUAACUUCGAGUUUGUUCAUUUUUGGCGAAUUGCUAGUCUAAUUCGACUGGAAUCGAGCCAUGAAAUGUGGUUUUCUAUUUCAUGAUAACUUCGGGUUUGUUCAUUUUUGGCGAAUUGGUAGUCUGAUUCGUCUGCAAUCAAGCCAUGAAAUGUGGUUUUCGAUUUCAGUAUAGCUUCGGGUUUGUUCAUUUUUGGCGAAUUGCUAGUCUGAUUCGACUGUAAUCGAGCCAUGAAAUGUUGUUUUCAUUUUCAAGAUAACUUGGGGUUUGUUCAUUUUUAGCGAAUUGCUAGUCUGAUUUGAUUGGAAUCGAGCCAAAGAAAUGUGGUUUUCGAUUUCAUGAUAACUUCGGGUUUGUUCAUUUUUAGCGAAUUGCUAGCCUAAUUCGAUUGGAAUCGAGCCAAUGAAAUGUGGUUUUCGAUUUCAUGAUAAAUUCGGGUUUGUUCAUUUUUGCCGAAUUGCUAAUCAAAUUUGAUUGGAAUCGAACCAAUGAUUUCAUGAUAACUUCGGGUUCGAUCAUUUUUGGCAAAUAGCUAGUCUAAUUCGAUUGGAAUCGAGCCAUGAAAUGUGGUUUUCGAUUUCAUGAUAACUUUGGGCUUGUUCAUUUUUGGCGAAGUGCUAGUCUAAUUCGACUGGAAUCGAGCCAAUGAAAUGUUGUUUUCGAUUUCAGCAUAACUUCAGGCUUGUUCAUUAUUGGCGAAUUGCUAGUCUAAUUCGAUUGGAUUUGAGCCAAUGAAAUGUGGUUUUCGAUUUCAUGAUAACUUCGGGUUUGUUCAUUUUUGGCGAAUAGCUAGUCUAAUUCGAUCGGAAUCCAGCCAAUGAAAUGUGGUUUUCGAUUUCAUGAUAACUUCGGGUUUGUUCGUUAUUGGCAAAUCGCUAGUCUAAUUGGAUUGGAAUCGAGCAAAUGAAAUGUGGUUUUUGAUUUCAUGAUAACUUCGGGUUUGUUCGUUAUUGGCAAAUCGCUAGUCUAAUUGGAUUGGAAUCAAGCAAAUGAAAUGUGGUUUUUGAUUUCAUGAUAACUUCGGGAUUGUUCAUUUUUGGCGAAAUGCUAGUCUAAGUGGAUUGGAAUCAAGCCAAUGAAAUGUCGUUUUCGAUUUCAAGACAACAAAUAACUUCGGGUUUGCUUAUUUUGGGUGAAUUGCUAGUCUAAUUUGAUUGGAAUCGAGCCCGUGAAAAGUGGCUUUUGAUUUCAUGAUAAGUUCGAAUUUGUUUGUUUUUGGCGAAUUGCUUGUCUAAUUCGAUUGGAAUCGAGCCAAUGAAAUGUGGUUUUCGAUUAAAUGAUAACUUCGGGUUUGUUCAUUUUUAGUGAAUUGCUAGUCUAAUUAGAUUGGAAUCGAGCCAAUGAAACAUGUAUUUUGAUUUCAUGAUAACAUCGGGUCUGUUAUUUUUGGUGAAUUCUAGUCUAAUUCGAUUGGAAUCGAGCCAUGAAAUGUUGUUUUCGAUUUCAUGAUGACUUCGAGUUUAUUCAUUUUUGGCGAACCGCUAGUCUAAUUCGAUUGGAAUCGAGCCAAUGAAAUGUGGUUUUCGAUUUCAUGAUAACUUCGGGUUUGUUCAUUUUUUACGGAUUGUCAGUCUAAUUCAGUUGGAAUCGAGCCAUGAAAUGUGGUUUUCGAUUUCACGAUAACUUCGGGUUUGUUCGUUGUUGGCGAAUUGCUAGUCUAAUUUGAUUGGAAUCGAGCCAAUAAAAUGUGGUUUUUGAUUUCAUGAUAACUUCGUGUUUGUUCAUUUUUGGCGAAUUGCUUGUCUAAUUAGUUGGAGUCGAGCCAAUGAAAUGUGGUUUUCGAUUUCAUGAUAACUUUGGGUUUGUUCGUUUUUGGCGAAUUGCUAGUCUAAUUCAAUUUGAAUCGAGCCAAUGAAACGUCUAUUUCGAUUUCAUGAAAACUUCGGCUCUGUUCGUUUAUGGCAUAUUGCUAGUCUAAUUUGAUUUGAAUCGAGCCAAUGAAACUUGUAUUUCGAUUUCAAGAUAACUUUUGGUCUUCUCAUUUUUGGCGAAUUGCUAGUCUAAUUUGAUUGGAUUCGAGCCAUGAUAUGUGGUUUUCGAUUUCACGAUAACUUCAUGUUUGUUCAAUUUUGGCGAAUUGUUAGUCUAACUCGAUUGGAAUCGAGCCAAUGAAAUGUGGUUUUCGAUUUCAUGAUAUCUUCGGGAUUGUUCGUUUUUAGCAAAUUGCUUCUCUAAUUCGAUUGGAAUUGAGCCAACGAAACGUGUACUUCGAUUUCAUGAUAACUUCGAGUCUGUUCAUUUUUGGCAAAUUGCUAGUCUAAUUCGAUUGGAAUCGAGCCAUGAAAUGAGGUUUUCGAUUUCACGAUAACAUUGGGUUCGUUCAUUUUUGACAAAUUGCUAGUCUAAUUCGGUUGGAAUCUGGCCAAUGAAAUGCGAUUUUCGAUUUCAAGAUAACUUUGGGUUUAUUCAUUUAUGGCGAAUUGCUAGUCUAAUUCGAUCGGAAUCGAGCCAACGAAAUGUGAUUUUUGAUUUCAUGACAACUUCGGGUUAGUUUGUUUUUGACGAAUUGCUAGUCUAAUUCGACCAAAAUCGAGCCAUGAAAUGUGGUUUUCGAUUUCAUGAUAACUUCGGGUUUGUUCAUUUUUGGGGAAUUGCUAGUCUGAUUCGAUUGGAAUCGAGCCAAUAAAAUGUAGUUUUCAAUUUUAUGAUAACUUCGGGUUUGUUCAUUUUUGGCGAAUUGCUAGUCAAAUUCGAUUUGAAUCGAGCCAAUGAAAUGUGGUAUUCGAUUUCAUGAUAACUUCGGGUUUGUUCAUUUUGGGCGAAUUGCUUGUGUAAUUCAGUUGGAAUCGAGCCAAGAAAUGUGGUUAUCGAUUUCAUGAUAACUUAAGGUUUUUUUAUUUUUGGUGAAUUGCUAGUCUAAUUCGAUUGAAAUCGAACCAAUGAAAAUUCUUUCUCGAUUUCAUAAUAACUUUUUGUUUGUUCAUUUUUGGCGAAUAGCUAGUCUAAUUCGAUUGGAAUCGAGCCAAUGAAAUAUGGUUUUCGAUUUCAUGAUAACUUCGGGUUUGUUUCUUUUUAGCGAAUAUCUUGUCUAAUUCGAUUGGAAUCGAGCCAAUGAAACGUGUACAUCGAUUUCAUGAUAACUUCGGGUCUGUUUGUUUUCGGCGAAUUGCUAGUCUAAUUCGAUUGGAAUUGAGCCAUUAAAUGAGGUUUUCGAUUUCAUGAUAACUUCAGGUUUGUUCAUUUUUGGCGAAUUGGUAGUCUGAUUCGUAUAGAAUCGAGCCGUGAAAUGUGGUUUUCGAUUUCCAGAUAACUUCGGGUUUGUUCAUUUUUGGCGAAUUGCUAGUCUGAUUCGACUGGGAUCGAGCCAUGAAAUGUGGUUUUCGAUAUCAGGAUAACUUCGGGUUUGUUCAUUUUUGGUGAAUUGCUAGUCUGAUUCGAUUGGAAUCGAGCCAAUGAAAUGUGGUUAUCGAUUUCAUGAUAACUUCUGGUUUGUUCAUUUUUGGCAACUUCCUAGUCUAAUUCGAUUGGAAUCGAGCCAGUGAAAAGUGGCUUUUGAUUUCAUGAUAACUUCGGGUUUGUUUGUUCUUGGCGAAUUGCUAGUCUAAUUCGAUUGGAAUCGAGCCAAUUAAAUGUGGUUUUCGAUUAAAUGAUAACUUCGGGUUUGUUCAUUUUUAGCGAAUUUCUAGUCUAAUUCGAUUGGAAUCGAGCCGACGAAACGUGUAUUUCGAUUUCAUGAUAACUCCGGGUUUGUUAUUUUUGGCGAAUUGCUAGUCUAAUUCGAUUGGUAUCUAGUCAUGAAAUGUGGUUUUUGAUUUCAUGAAAACAUCGAUUUUAUCAUUUUUUACGAAUUACUGAUCUAAUUCGAUUGGAAAAGACCCAACGAAAUGUGGUUUUCGAUUCCAUUAUAACUUCGUGUUUGUUCAUUUUUGGCGAACUGCUAAUCUAAUUCGAUUGGAAUCGACCAAUGAAAUGUGGUUUUCGAUUUCAUGACAACUUCGCGUUUGCUCAUUUUUGGCGAAUGCUAGUCUAAUUCGAUUGGAAUCGAGCCAACGGAAUUUGGUUUUCGAUUUCAUGAUAACUUCAGGUUUGUUCAUUUUUCGUAAAUUGCUAGGCUUAUUCGAUUGGAAUCGAGUCAAUGAAAUGUGGCUUUCAAUUUCAUGAUAACAAAUAACUUCGGGUUUGUCUAUUUUUGGCGAAUUGCUAGUCCAUUCGAUUGGAAUCGACCCAGUGAAAUGUGGCUUUCGAUUUCAUGAUAACUUUGGGUUUGUUCAUUUUUUGCCAAUUGCUACUCUAAUUCGAUUCGAAUCUAGCCAGUGAAAAGUGGCUUUUGAUUUCAUGAAAACUUUGGGUUUGUUUGUUCUUGGCGAAUUGCUAGUCUAAUUCGAUCGGAAUCGAGCCAAUGAAAUGUUGUUUUCGAUUAAAUGAUAACUUCGGGUUUGUUCAUUUUUAGCGAAUUGCUUGUUUAAUUCGAUUGGAAUCGAGCCAAUGAAACGUGUAUUUCGAUUUCAUGAUAAUUACGGGUCUGUUAUUUUCGGCGAAUUGCUUGUCUAAUUCGAUUGGAAUCGAACCAUGAAAUGUGGGUUUCGAUUUCAUGAUAACUUCGGGUUUUAUCAUUUUUUACGAAUUACUAGUCUAAUUCGAUUGGAAUCGAGCCAACGAAAUGUGGUUUUCGAUUUCAUUAUAACUUCGGGUUUGUUCAUUUUUGGCAAAUUGCUAAUCUAACUCGAUUGGAAUCGAGCUAAUGAAAUGUGAUUUUCAAUUUAAUGAUAACUUUGGGUUUGUUCUUUUUUGUGAAUUGCAAGUCUAAUUCAAUUAAAAUCGAGCCACGAAAUGUGGUUUUCGAUUUCAUGAUAACUUCGAGUUUGUUUGUUUUUGGCAAAUUGUUAGUCUAAUUCGAUUGGAAUCGAGCCAUGAAAUGUGGUCUUCGAUUUCAUGAUAACUUCGAAUUUGUUCGUUUUUGGCGAAUUGCUAGUCUAAUUCGAUUGGAAUCGAGCCAAUGAAAUGUGGUUUUUGAUUUAUUGAUAACUUCGAGUUUGUUCAUUUUUGGCGAAUUGCUAGUCUAAUUCGACUGGAAUCGAGCCAUGAAAUGUGGUUUUCUAUUUCAUUAUAGCUUCGGGUUUGUUCAUUUUUGGCGAAUUGGUAGUCUGAUUCGUCUGUAAUUGAGCCAUGAAAUGUGGUUUUCGAUUUCAGUAUAGCUUCGGGUUUGUUCAUUUUUAGCGAAUUGCUAGUCUGAUUCGACUGGAAUCGAGCCAUGAAAUGUUGUUUUCGUUUUCAAGAUAACUUUGGGUUUGUUCAUUUUUAGCGAAUUGCUAGUCUGAUUCGACUGGAAUCGAGCCAUGAAAUGUUGUUUUCGUUUUCAAGAUAACUUUGGGUUUGUUCAUUUUUGGCGAAUUACUAGUCUGAUUCGAUUGGAAUCGAGCCAAUGAAAUGUGGUUUUCGACUUCAUGAUAACUUCGGGUUUUUUCAUUUUUGGCGAAUUACUAGCCUAAUUCGACUGGAAUCGAGCCAAUGAAAUGUGAUUUUCAAAUUCAUGAUAACUUCAGGUUUUAUCAUUUUUUGCGAAUUGCUAGUCUAGUUCGAUUGGAAUCGAGCCCACGAAAUGUGGUUUUUGAUUUCUUGAUAAAUUCGGGUUUGUUCAUUCUUGGCGAAUUGCUAAUCUAAUUUGAUUGGAAUCAAGCCAAUGAAAUGUGGUUUUCGAUUUCAUGAUAACUUCAGGUUCGAUCAUUUUUGGCGAAUAGCUAGUCUAAUUCGAUUGGAAUCGAGCCAUGAAAUGUGGUUUUCGAUUUCAUGAUAACUUUGGGUUUGUUCAUUUUUGGCAAAGUGCUAGUCUAAUUCGAUUGGAAUCGAGCCAAUGAAACGUUGUUUUCAAUUUCAGGAUAACUUCGGGUUUGUUCGUUAUUGGCGAAUUGCUAGUCUAAUUCGAUUGGAUUUGAGCCAAUGAAAUGUGGUUUUUGAUUUCAUGAUAACUUCGGGUUUGUUCAUUUUUGGCGAAUAGCUAGUUGAAUUCGAUCGGAAUCUAGCCAAUGAAAUGUGGUUUUCGAUUUCAUGAUAACUUCAGGUUUGUUCGUUAUUGGCGAAUUGCUAGUCUAAUUGGAUUGGAAUCGAGCAAAUGAAAUGUGGUUUUCGAUUUCAUGAUAACUUCGGGAUUGUUCAUUUUUGGCGAAAUGCUAGUCUAAUUCAAUUUGAAUCGAGCCAAUGAAACGUGUAUUUCGAUUUCAUGAUAACUUCGGCUCUGUUCAUUUUUGGCGAAUUGCUAGUCUAAUUCGAUUUGAAUCGAGCCAAUGAAACGUGUAUUUCGAUUUCAAGAUAACUUUUGGUCUUCUCAUUUUUGGCGAAUUGCUAGUCUAAUUCGAUUGGAUUCGAGCCAUGAAAUGUGGUUUUCGAUUUCACGAUAAAUUCGGGUUUGUUCAUUUUUGGCGAAUUGUUAGUCUAACUCGAUUGGAAUCGAGCCAAUGAAAUGUGGUUUUCGAUUUCAUGAUAACUUCGUGAUUGUUCGUUUCUAGCGAAUUGAUUCUCUAAUUCGAUUGGAAUCGAGCCAAUGAAACGUGUACUUCGAUUUCAUGAUAACUUCGGGUCUGUUAUUUUUGGCGAAUUGCUAGUCUAAUUCGAUUGGAAUCUAGCCAUGAAAUGUGGUUUUCAAUUUCAUUAAAACAUUGGGUUUUAUCAUUUUUUACGAAUUACUGAUCUAAUUCGAUUGGAAACGACCCAACGCAAUGUGGUUUUCGAUUCCAUUGUAACUUCGUGUUUGCUCAUUUUUGGCGAAUUGCUAAUCUAAUUCGAUUGGAAUCGAUCAAUGAAAUGUGGUUUUCGAUUUCAUGAUAACUUCGGGUUUGUUCAUUUUUCGCAAAUUUCUAGGCUUAUUCGAUUGGAAUCGAGUCAAUGAAAUGUGGUUUUCGAUUUCAUGAUAACAAAUAACUUCGGGUUUGUCGAUUUUUGGCGAAUUGCUAGUCCAUUCGAUGGGAAUCGAGCCAGUGAAAUGUGGCUUUCGAUUUCAUGAUAACUUCGGGUUUGUUCAUUUUUUGUCAAUUGCUACUCUAAUUCGAUUGGAAUCUAGCCAGUGAAAAGUGGCUUUUGAUUUCAUGAAAACUUUGGGUUUGUUUGUUCUUGGCGAAUUGCUAGUCUAAUUCGAUCGGAAUCGAGCCAAUGAAAUGUUGUUUUCGAUUAAAUGAUAACUUCGGGUUUGUUCAUUUUUAGCGGAUUGCUAGUUUAAUUCGAUUGGAAUAGAGCCAAUGAAACGUGUAUUUCGAUUUCAUGAUAACUUCGGGUCUGUUAUUUUUGGCGAAUUGCUAGUCUAAUUCGAUUGGAAUCGAGCCAAUGAAACGUGUAUUUCGAUUUCAUGAUAACUUCGGGUCUGUUAUUUUUGGCGAAUUGCUAGUCUAAUUCGAUUGGAAUCGAGCCAUGAAAUAUGGUUUUCGAUUUCAUGAUAACUUCGGGUUUUAUCAUUUUUUACGAAUUACUAGCCUAAUUCGAUUAGAAUCGAGCCAACGAAAUGUGGUUUUCGAUUUCAUUAUAACUUCGGGUUUGUUCAUUUUUGGCAAAUUGCUAAUCUAAUUCGAUUGGAAUCGAGCCAAUAAAAUGUGAUUUUCAAUUUCAUGAUAACUUUGGGUUUGUUGUUUUUUGCGAAUUGUAAGUCUAAUUCAAUUAAAUUCGAGCCACGAAAUGUGGUUUUCGAUUUCAUGAUAACUUCGAGUUUGUUUGUUUAUGGCCAAUUGUUAGUCUAAUUUUGUUGGAAUCGAGCCAUGAAAUGUGGUCUUCGAUUUCAUGAUAACUUCAGGUUUGUUCAUUUUUGGCGAAUUGCUAGUCUAUUUCGAUUGGAAUCGAGCCAAUGAAAUGUGGUUUUCGAUUUCAUGAUAACCUCGGGUUUGUUCAUUUUUGGCGAAUAGCUAGUCUAAUUCGAUUGGAAUCGAGCCACUGAAAUGUGGUUUUUGAUUUCAUGAUAACUUCGUGUUUGUUCAUUUUUGGCGAAUUGCUAGUCUAAUUAGUUGGAGUCGAGCCAAUGAAAUGUGGUUUUCCAUUUCUUGAUAACUUCGGGUUUGUUCGUUUUCGGCGAAUUGCUAGUCUAAUUCAACUGGAAUCGAGCCAUGAAAUGUGGUUUUCGAUUUCAGGAUAACAUUGGGUUUGUUCAUUUUUGGCGAAUUGCUAGUCCGAUUCAUCUGGAAUCGAGCCAUGAAAUGUGGUUUUCGAUUUCACGAUAACUUAGGGCUUGUUCAUUUUUGGCGAAUUGCUAGUCUGAUUCGACUAGAAUCGAGCCACAAAAUGUGGUUUUCGAUUUCAGGAUAACUUUGGGUUUGUUCAUUUUUGGCGAAUUGCUAUUCUGAUUUGACUGGAAUCAAGCCAUGAAAUGUUGUUUUCAUUUUCAUGAUAACUUCGGGUUUGUUCAUUUCUAGCGAAUUGCUAGUCUGAUUCGAUUGGAAUCGAGCAAACGAAAUGUGGUUUUCGAUUUCAUGAUAACUUCUGGUUUGUUCAUUUUUGGCGAAUUGCUAUUCUAAUUCGAUUGGAAUCGAGCCAAUGAAAUUUGGUUUUCGAUUUCAUGAUAACUUCGGGUUUUAUCAUUUUUGGCGAAUUGCUAGUCAAAUUCGAUUGGAAUCGAGCCAACGAAAUGUGCUUUCGAUUUCAUGAUAAAUUCAAGUUUGUUCAUUUUUGGCAAAUUGCUAAUCUAAUUUGAUUGGAAUCGAACCAAUGAAAUGUGGUUUUCGAUUUCAUGAUAACUUCGGGGUCGGUCAUUUUUGGCGAUUAGCUAGUCUAAUUCGAUUGGAAUCGAACCAUGAAUUGUGGUUUUCGAUUUCAUGAUAACUUCGAGUUUGUUAGUUUUUAGCGAAAUGCUAGUCUUAUUCGAUUGGAAUCGAGCCAUGAAAUGUGGUUUUCGAUUUCAGGAUAACUUCGGGUUUGUUCAUUUUUGGCGAAUUGAUUGUCUGAUUUGACUGGAAUCAAGCCAUGAAAUGUUGCUUUCAUUUUCAUGAUAACUUCGGGUUUGUUCAUUUUUGGCGAAUUGCUAGUCUGAUACGAUUGGAAUCGAGCCAACGAAAUGUGGUUUUCGAUUUCAUGAUAACUUCUGGUUUGUUCAUUUUUGGUAAAUUGCUAGUCUAAUUCGAUUGGAAUCGAGCCAAUGAAAUGUGGUUUUCAAUUUCAUGAUAAAUUCACGUUCGUUCAUUUUUGGCAAAUUGCUAAUCUAAUUUGAUUGGAAUCGAGCCAAUGAAAUGUGGUUUUCGAUUUCAUGAUAACUUCGGGGUCGGUCGUUUUUGGCGAAUAGCUAGUCUCAUUCGAUUGGAAUCGAGCCAUGAAUUGUGGGUUUCGAUUUCUUGAUAACUUCGAGUUUGUUAGUUUUUGGCGAAAUGCUAGUCUAAUUCGAUUGGAAUCGAGCCAAUGAAAUGUGGUUUUCGAUUUCAUGAUAACUUCGGGUUUGUUCGUUAUUGGUGAAUUGCUAGUCUAAUUCGAUUGGAAUCGAGCCAUGAAUUGUGGUUUUCGAUUUCAUGAUAACUUCGAGUUUGUUAGUUUUUGGCGAAAUGCUGGUCUAAUUCGAUUGGAAUCGAGCCAAUGAAAUGUGGUUUUCGAUUUCAUGAUAACUUCGGAUUUGUUCGUUGUUGGCCAAUUGCUAGUCUUAUUUGUUGGAAUCGAGCCAAUGAAAUGUGAUUUUCGAUUUCAUGAUAAAUUCGUGAUUGUUCAUUUUUGGCAAAUUGCUAGUCUGAUUAGUUGGAGUCGAGCCAAUGAAAUGUGGUUUUCGAUUUCAUGAUAACUUCGGGUUUGUUCGUUUUUUGUGAAUUGCUAGUCUAAUUCAAUUUGAAUCGAGCCAAUGAAACGUGUAUUUCGAUUUCAUGAUAACUUCGACUCUGUUCGUUUUUGGCGAACUGCUAGUCUAAUUCAAUUUGAAUCGAGCCAGUGAAACGUGUAUUUCGAUUUCAAGAUAACUUUUGGUCUGCUCAUUUUUGGCGAAUUGCUAAUCUAAUUCGAUUGGAAUCGAGCCAUGAAAUGUGGUUUUCGAUUUCAAGAUAACUUCGGGUUUGUUCAUUUUUGGAGAAAUGCUAGUCUAAUUCUAUUGAAAUCGAGCCAAUGAAAUGUGGUUUUCGAUUUCAUGAAAACAAAUAACUUCGGGUUUGUUCAUUUUUGGCGAAUUGCUAGUCUAAUUCGAUUGGAAUCGAGCUAGUGAAAAGUGGCUUUCGAUUUCAUGAUAACUUCGAGUUUGUUUGUUCUUGGCGAAUUGCUAGUCCAAUUCGAUUGGAAUCGAGCCAAUGAAAUGUGGUUUUCGAUAAAGUGAUAACUUCGGGUUUGUUCAUUUUUGUGAAUUGCUAGUCUAAUUCGAUUGGAAUCGAGCCAAUGAAACGUGUAUUUCGAUUUAAUGAUAACUUCGGGUCUGUUAUUUUUGGCGAAUUGCUAGUCUAAUUCGAUUGGAAUCGAGCCAUGAAAUGUGGUUUUCGCUUUCAUGAUAACAUCGGGUUUUAUCAUUUUUUACGAAUUACUAAUCUAAUUCGAUUGGAAUUGAGGCAACGAAAUGUGGCUUUUGAUUCCAUUAUAACAUCGGGUUUGUUCAUUUUUGACGAAUUGCUAAUCUAAUUCGAUUGGAAUCGACCAAUGAAAUAUGGUUUUCGAUUUCAUGACAACUUUGCAUUUGCUCAUUUUUGGCGAAUUGCUUGUCUAAUUCGAUUGGAAUCGAGCCAACGAAAUUUGGUUUUCGAUUUCAUGAUAACUUCGGGUUUGUUCAUUUUUCGCAAAUUGCUAGGCUUAUUCGAUUGAAAUCGAGUCAAUGAAAUGUGGUUUUCGAUUUCAUGAUAACAAAACACUUCUGGUUUGUUCAUUUUUGGUGAAUUGCUAGUCCAUUCGAUUGGAAUUGAGCCAGUGAAAAGUGGCUUUCGAUUUCAUGAUAACUUCGGGUUUGUCUAUUUUUUGCGGAUUGCUACUCUAAUUCGAUUGGAAUUGAGACAUGAAAUGUGGUUUUCGAUUUCAGGAUAACUUCGCGUUUUAUCAUUUUUUACGAAUUACUAGUCUAAUUCGAUAGGAAUCAAGCCAUGAAAUGUGGUUUUCGAUUUCAUGAUAACUUCGGGUUUGUUCGUUGUUGGCUAAUUGCUAGUCUUAUUUGAUUGGAAUCGAGCUAAUGAAAUGUGGUUUUCGAUUUCUUGAUAAAUUCGUGUUUGUUCAUUUUCGACGAAUUGCUAGUCUGAUUGGUUGGAGUUGAGCCAAUGAAAUGUGGUUUUAGAUUUCAUGAUAACAUCGGGUUUGUUCGUUUUUGGCGAAUUGCUAGUCUAAUUCAAUUUAAAUCGAGCCAAUGAAACGUGUAUUUCGAUUUCAUGAUAACUUCGGCUAUGUUUGUUUUUGGCGAAUUGCUAGUCUAAUUAAAUUUGAAUCGAGCCAAUGAAACGUGUAUUUCGAUUUCAUGAUAACUUUUGGUCUGUUUAUUUUUGGCGAAUUGCUUGUCUAAAUCAAUUGGAAUCGAGCCAUGAAAUGUGGUUUUCGAUUUCACGAUAACUUUGGGUUUGUUCAUUUUUUGCGAAUUGCUAGUCUAAUUCGAUUGGAAUCGAGCCAAUGAAAUGUGGUUUUCGAUUUCAUGACAACUUCGGGUUUGUUCGUCUUUAGCGAAUUGCUUUUCUAAUUCGAUUGGAAUCGAGCCAAUGAAAUGUGUACUUCGAUUUCAUGAUAACUUCGGGUCUGUUCAUUUUUGGCGAAUUGUUAGUCUAAUUCGAUUGGAAUCGAGCCAUGAAAUGAGGUUUUCGAUUUCAUUAUAACUUUGGGUUCGUUCAUUUUUGACGAAUUGCUUGUCUGAUUCGAUUGGAAUCUAGCCAAUGAAAUGUGGUUUUCGAUUUUCAGAGAACUUUGGGUUUAUUCAUUUAUGGCGAAUUGCUAGUCUAAUUCGAUUGGAAUCGAGUCAACAAAAUGUGGUUUUCGAUUUCAUGAUAACUUCGGGUUUGUUCGUUUUUGACGAAUUGCUAGUCUAAUUCGACUGGAAUCAAGCCAUGAAAUGUGGUUUUCGAUUUCAUGAUAACUUCAGGUUUUUUCAUUUUUGGCGAAUUGCUAGUCUAAUUCGAUCGGAAUCGAGCCAAUGAAAUGUUGUUUUUGAUUAAAUGAUAACUUCGGGUUUGUUUAUUUUUAGCGGAUUGCUAGUUUAAUUCAAUUGGGAUCGAGCCAAUGAAACGUGUAUUUCGAUUUCAUGAUAACAUCGGGUCUGUUAUUUUUGGCGAAUUGCUAGUCUAAUUCGAUUGGAAUCAAGCCAUGAAAUGUGGUUUUCGAUUUCAUGAUAACUUGGGGUUUUAUCAUUUUUUACGAAUUACUAGUCUAAUUCGAUUGGAAUCGAGCCAACGAAAUGUGGUUUUCGAUUUCAUUAUAAAUUCGAGUUUGUUCAUUUUUGGCGAAUUGCUAAUCUAAUUCGAUUGGAAUCGAGCCAAUGAAAUGUGAUUUUCAAUUUCAUGAUAACUUUGGGUUUGUUCAUUUUUUGCGAAUUGCAAGUCUAAUUCAAUUAAAAUCGAGCCACGUAAUGUGGUUUUCGAUUCCAUGAUAACUUCGAGUUUUUUUGUUUUUGGCGAAUUGUUAGUCUAAUUCGAUUGGAAUCGAGCCAUGAAAUGUGGUUUUCGAUUUCAUGAUAACCUCAAGUUUGUUCGUUUUUGGCGAAUUGCUAGUCUAAUUCGAUUGGAAUCAAGCCAAUGAAAUGUGGUUUUCGAUUUCAUGAUAACUUCGGGUUUGUUCAUUUUUGGCGAAUAGCUAGUCUAAUUCGACUGGAAUCGAGCCAAUAAAAUGUGGUUUUCGAUUUCAUGAUAACUUCGUGUUUGUUCAUUUUUUGGCGAAUUGCUAGUGUGGUUUUCGAUUUCGUGAUAACUUCGGGUUUGUUCGUUUUCGGUGAAUUGCUAGUUUAAUUCGAUUGGAAUCGAGCCAUGAAAUGCGGUUUUCGAGUUUAGGAUAACUUCGGGUUUGUUCAUUUUUGGCAAAUUGCUAGUCUGAUUCGUCUGGAAUCGAGCCAUGAAAUGUGGUUUUCGAUUUCAGGAUAACUUCGGGUUUGUUCAUUUUUGGCGAAUUGCUAGUCUUAUUCGACUGGAAUCGAGCCAUGAAAUGUGGUUUUCGAUUUCAGGAUAACUUCGGGUUUGUUCAUUUUUGGCGAAUUGCUAGUCUUAUUUGACUGGAAUCAAGCCAUGAAAUCUUGUUUUCAUUUUCACGAUAACUUCGGGUUUGUUCAUUUUUCGCAAAUUGCUAGGCUUAUUCGAUUGAAAUCGAGUCAAUGAAAUGUGGUUUUCGAUUUCAUGAUAACAAAUAAGUUCAGAUUUGUUCAUUUUUGGUGAAUUACUAGUCCAUUCGAUUGGAAUUGAGCCAAUGAAAAGUGGCUUUCGAUUUCAUGAUAACUUCGGGUUUGUUCAUUUUUUGCGGAUUGCUUCUCUAAUUCGAUUGGAAUUAAGCCAUGAAAUGUGGUUUUCGAUUUCAGGAUAACUUCGCGUUUUAUCAUUUUUUACGAAUUACUAGUCUAAUUCGAUAGGAAUCAAGCCAUGAAAUGUGGUUUUCUAUUUCUUGAUAACUUUGGGUUUGUUCGUUGUUGGCCAAUUGCUAGUCUUAUUUGAUUGGAAUCGAGCCAAUGAAAUGUGGUUUUCGAUUUCAUGAUAAAUUCGUGUUUGUUCAUUUUCGACGAAUCGCUAGUCUGAUUAGCUGGAGUCGAGCCAAUGAAAUGUGGUUUUCGAUUUCAUGGUAAAUUCGUGAUUGUUCAUUUUUGGCAAAUUGCUAGUCUGAUUAGUUGGAGUCGAGGCAAUGAAAUGUGGUUUUCGAUUUCAUGAUAACUUCGGGUUUGUUCGUUUUUUGCGAAUUGCUAGUCUAAUUCAAUUUGAAUCGAGCCAAUGAAACGUGUAUUUCGAUUUCAAGAUAACUUUUGGUCUGCUCAUUUUUGGCGAAUUGCUAGUCUAAUUCGAUUGGAAUCGAGCCAUGAAAUGUGGUUUUCGAUUUCAAGAUAACUUCGGGUUUGUUCAUUUUUGGAGAAAUGCUAGUCUAAUUCGAUUGAAAUCGAGCCAAUGAAAUGUGGUUUUCGAUUUCAUGAUAACAAAUAACUUCGGGUUUGUUCAUUUUUGGCGAAUUGCUAGUCUAAUUCGAUUGGAAUCGAGCCAGUGAAAAGUGGCUUUUGAUUUUAUGAUAACUUCGGGUUUGUUUGUUCUUGGCGAAUUGCUAGUCUAAUUCGAUUGGAAUCGAGCCAGUGAAAAGUGGCUUUUGAUUUUAUGAUAACUUCGGGUUUGUUUGUUCUUGGCGAAUUGCUAGUCUAAUUCGAUUGGAAUCGAGCCAUGAAAUGUGGUUUUCGAUUUCAAGAUAACUUCGGGUUUGUUCAUUUUUGGAGAAAUGCUAGUCUAAUUCGAUUGAAAUCGAGCCAAUGAAAUGUGGUUUUCGAUUUCAUGAUAACAAAUAACUUCGGGUUUGUUCAUUUUUGGCGAAUUGCUAGUCUAAUUCGAUUGGAAUCGAGCCAGUGAAAAGUGGCUUUUGAUUUUAUGAUAACUUCGGGUUUGUUUGUUCUUGGCGAAUUGCUAGUCUAAUUCGAUUGGAAUCGAGCAACGAAAUGUGGUUUUCGAUAAAGUGAUAACUUCGGGUUUGCUCAUUUUUUGUGAAUUGCUAGUCUAAUUCGAUUGGAAUCGAGCCAAUGAAACGUGUAUUUCGAUUUAAUGAUAACUUCGGGUCUGUUAUUUUUGGCUAAUUGCUAGUCUAAUCCGAUUGGAAUCGAGGCAUGAAAUGUGGUUUUCGCUUUCAUGAUAACAUCGGGUUUUAUCAUUUUUUAUGAAUUACUAAUCUAAUUCGAUUGGAAUCGAGGGAACGAAAUGUGGUUUUCGAUUCCAUUAUAACAUCGAGCUUGUUCAUUUUUUGGUGAAUUGCUAAUCUAAUUCGAUUGGAAUCAGCCGAUGAAAUGUGGUUUUCGAUUUCAUGACGACUUCGCGUUUGUUCGUUUUUGGCGAAUUUCUAGUCUAAUUCGAUUGCAAUCGAGCCAACGAAAUUUGGUUUUCGAUUUCAUGAUAACUUCGGGUUUGUUCAUUUUUUGUAAAAUGCUAGGCUUAUUCGAUUGAAAUCGAGUCAAUGAAAUGUGGUUUUCGAUUUCAUGAUAACAAAUAAAUUCUGGUUUGUUCAUUUUUGGUGAAUUGCUAGUCCAUUCGAUUGGAAUCGAGCCAGUGAAAAGUGGCUUUCAAUUUCAUGAUAACUUCGGGUUUGUUCAUUUUUUGCGGAUUGUUACUUUAAUUCGAUUGGAAUUGAGCCAUGAAAUGUGGUUUUCGAUUUCAGGAUAACUUCACGUUUUAUCGUUUUUUACGAAUUACUAGUCUAAUUCAAUAGGAAUCAAGCCAUGAAAUGUGGUUUUCGAUUUCAUGAUAACUUCGGGUUUGUUCGUUGUUGGCCAAUUGCUAGUCUUAUUUGAUUGGAAUCGAGCCAAUGAAAUGUGGUUUUCGAUUUCAUGAUAAAUUCGUGUUUGUUCAUUUUCGGCAAAUUGCUAGUCUGAUUAGUUGGAUUCGAGCCAAUGAAAUGUGGUUUUAGAUUUCAUGAUAACAUCGGGUUUGUUCAUUUUUUGCAAAUUGCUAGUCUAAUUCAAUUUGAAUCGAGCGAAUGAAACGUGUAUUUCGAUUUCAUGAUAACUUCGGCUCUGUUCGUUUUUGGCGAAUUGCUAGCCUAAUUCAAUUUGAAUCGAGCCAACGAAACGUGUAUUUCGAUUUCAAGAUAACUUUUGGUCUGCUCAUUUUUGGCGAAUUGCUUGUCUAAAUCGAUUGGAAUCGAGCCAUGAAUUGUGGUUUUCGAUUUCACCAUAACUUCGGGUUUGUUCAUUUUUGGCGAAUUGCUAGUCUAAUUCGAUUGGAAUCGAGUCAAUGAAAUGUGGUUUUUGAUUUCAUGACAACUUCGGGUUUGUUCGUCUUUAGCGAAGUACUUCUCUAAUUCGAUUGGAAUCGAGCCAAUGAAACGUGUACUUCAAUUUCAUAAUAACUUCGGGUCUGUUCAUUUUUGGCAAAUCGCCAGUCUAAUUCAAUUGGAAUCGAGCCAUGAAAUGAGGUUUUCGAUUUCAUUAUAACUUUGGGUUCGUUCAUUUUUGACUAAUUGCUUGUCAAUUCGAUUGGAAUCUAGCCAAUGAAAUGUAGUUUUCGAUUUUCAGAGAACUUUGGGUUUGUUCAUUUAUGGCAAAUUGCUAGUCUAAUUCGAUUGGAAUCGAGUCAACGAAAUGUGGUUUUCGAUUUCAUGAUAACUUCGGGUUUGUUCGUUUUUGACGAAUUGCUAGUCUAAUUCGACGGGAAUCAAGCCAUGAAAUGUGGUUUUCGAUUUCAUGAUAACUUCGGUUUUUUUCAUUUUUUGCGAAUUGCAAGUCUGAGUCGACUGGAAUCGAGCCAAUGAAAUAUGAUUUUUCGAUUUCAUGAUAAAUUCGGGUUUGUUCAUUUUUGGCGAAUUGCUAUUCUAAUUAGAUUGGAAUCGAGCCAAUGAAAUGUGGUUUUCGAUUUCAUGAUAACUUCGGGUUUGUUCAUUUUUUCCGAAUAGCUAGUCUAAUUCGAUUGGAAUCGAGCCAAUGAAAUGUGGUUUUCGAUUUCAUGAUAACUUCGGGUUUGUUCAUUUUUAGCGAAUAACUAGUCUAAUUCGAUUGGAAUCGAGCUAAUGAAAUGUGGUUUUCGAUUUCAUGAUAACUUCGUGUUUGUUCAUUUUUGGUGUGUUGCUAGUCUAAUUAGUUGGAGUCGAGCCAAUGAAAUGUUGUUUUCGAUUUCAUGAUAACUUCGGUUUUGUUCGUUUUCGGCGAAUUGCUAGUCUAAUUCGAUUGGAAUCGAGCCAAUGAAAUGUGGUUUUUCAUUUCAUGAUAACUUCGAGUUUGUUCAUUUUUUGUGCGUUGCUAGUCUAAUUAGUUGGAGUCGAGCUAAUGAAAUGUGGUUUUCGAUUUCAUGAUAACUUCGGGUUUGUUCAUUUUUGGCGAAUAGCUAGUCCAAUUCAACUGGAAUCGAGCCAUGAAAUGCGGUUUUCGAUUUCAUGAUAACUUCAGGUUUGUUCAUUUUUGGCGAAUCGGUAGUUUGAUUCGUCUAGAAUCAAGCCAUGAAAUGUGGUUUUCGAUUUCAGGAUAACUUCAGGUUUGUUCAUUUUUGGCGAAUCGCUAGUCUGAUUCGAUUGGAAUCGAGCCAUGAAAUGUCGUCUUCGAUUUCAUGAUAACUUCGGGUUUGUUCAUUUUUUGUGAAUAGCUAGUCUAAUUCGACUGGAAUCGAGCCAAUGAAAUGUGGUUUUUGAUUUCAUUAUAACUUCGGGUUUGUUUAUUUUUGGCGAAUUGCUACUCUAAUUCGAUUAGAAUCGAACCAAUGAAAUGUACUGUUCAAUUUCAUGAUCACUUUGGGUUUGUUCUUUUUUGCGAAUUGCAAGUCUAAUUCGAUUAAAAUCAAGCCAUGAAACGUGGUUUUCGAUUUCAUGAUAACUUCGGGUUUGUUCGUUUUUGGCGAAUUGCUAGUCUAAUUCAAUUGGAAUCGAGCCAUGAAAUGUGGUCUUUGAUUUCAUGAUAACUUCCGGUUUGUUUAUUUUUCGCAAAUUGCUAGUCUAAUUCGAUUGGAAUCGAGCCAAUGAAAUAUGAUUUUUCGAUUUCAUGAUAAAUUCGGGUUUGUUCGUUUUUGGCGAAUUGCUAGUCUAAUUCGAUUGGAAUCGAGCCAAUGAAAUGUGGUUUUAGAUUUCAUGAUAACUUCGGGUUUGUUCAUUUUUUCCGAAUAGCUAGUCUAAUUCGAUUGGAAUCGAGCCAAUGAAAUGUGGUUUUCGAUUUCAUGAUAACUUCGGGUUUGUUCAUUUUUAGCGAAUAACUAAUCUAAUUCGAUUGGAAUCGAGCUAAUGAAAUGUGGUUUUCGAUUUCAUGAUAACUUCGUGUUUGUUCAUUUUUGGUGUGUUGCUAGUCUAAUUAGUUGGAGUCGAGCCAAUGAAAUGUGGUUUUCGAUUUCAUGAUAACUUUGGGUUUGUUCGUUUUCGACGAAUUGCUAGUCUAAUUCGAUUGGAAUCGAGCCAAUGAAAUGUGAUUUUCGAUUUCAUGAUAACUUCGGGUUUGUUCAUUUUUUGUGUGUUGCUAGUCUAAUUAGUUGGAGUCGAGCUAAUGAAAUGUGGUUUUCGAUUUCAUGAUAACUUCGGGUUUGUUCAUUUUUGGCGAAUAGCUAGUCCAAUUCAACUGGAAUCGAGCCAUGAAAUGUGGUUUUCGAUUUCAUGAUAACUUCAGGUUUGUUCAUUUUUGGCGAAUCGGUAGUUUGAUUCGUCUAGAAUCGAGCCAUGAAAUGUGGUUUUCGAUUUCAGGAUAACUUCAGGUUUGUUCAUUUUUGGCGAAUCGCUAGUCUGAUUCGAUUGGAAUCGAGCCAUGAAAUGUCGUCUUCGAUUUCAUGAUAACUUCGGAUUUGUUCAUUUUUUGUGAAUAGCUAGUCUAAUUCGACUGGAAUCGAGCCAAUGAAAUGUGGUUUUUGAUUUCAUUAUAACUUCGGGUUUGUCUAUUUUUGGCGAAUUGCUAAUCUAAUUCGAUUGGAAUCGAACCAAUGAAAUGUAGUUUUCAAUUUCAUGAUAACUUUGGGUUUAUUCUUUUUUGCGAAUUGCAAGUCUAAUUCAAUUAAAAUCGAGCCAUGAAACGUGGUUUUUGAUUUCAUGAUAACUUCGGGUUUGUUCAUUUUUGGCGAAUUGCUAGUCUAAUUCGAUUGGAAUCGAGUCAUGAAAUGUGGUCUUUGAUUUCAUGAUAACUUCGGGUUUGUUUAUUUUUGGCAAAUUGCUAGUCUAAUUCGAUUGGAAUCGAGCCAAUGAAAUAUGGUUUUUCGAUUUCAUGAUAACUUCGGGUUUGUUCAUUUUUGACGAAUUGCUAGUCUAAUUCGAUUGGAUCGAGCCAAUGAAAUGUGGUUUUCGAUUUCAUGAUAACUUCGGGUUUGUUCAUUUUUUCCGAAUAGCUAGUCUAAUUCGAUUGGAAUCGAGCCAAUGAAAUGUGGUUUUCGAUUUCAUGAUAACAAAUAACGUCGGGUUUGUUCGUUAUUGGCGAAUUGCUAGUCCAUUCGAUUGGAAUCGAGCCAUUGAAAAGUGGCUUUCGAUUUCAUGAUAACUUCGGGUUUGUUCAUUUUUUGCGAAUUGCUACUCUAAUUCGAUUGGAAUCGAUCCCGGGAAAAGUGGCUUUUGAUUUCAUGAAAACAUCGAGUUCGUUUGUUCUUGGCGAAUUGCUAGUCUAAUUCGAUUGGAAUCGAGCCAAUAAAAUGUUGUUUUCGAUUAAAUGAUAACUUCAGAUUCGUUCAUUUUUAGCGAAUUGCUAGUUUAAUUCGAUUGGAAUCGAGCUAAUGAAACGUGUAUUUCGAUUUCAUGAUAAUUUUGGGUCUGUUAUUUUUGGAAAAUUGCUAGCCAAAUUCUAUUGGAAUCGAGCCAUGAAAUGUGGUUUUCAAUUUCAUGAAAACUUCGGGUUUUAUCAAUUUCUGCGAAUUACUAGUCUAAAUCGAUUGGAAUCGAGCCAAUGAAAUGUCGUUUUCAAUUUCAUUAUAACUUCGGGUUUGUUCAUUUUUGGCGAAUUGCUAAUCUAAUUCGAUUGGAAUCAAGCCAAUGAAAUGUAGUUUUCAAUUUCAUGAGAACCUUGGGUUUGUUUGUUUUUUGCGAAUUGCAAGUCUAAUUCAAUUAAAAUCGAGCCAAGAAAUGUGGUUUUUGAUUUCAUGAUAACUUCGGGUUUGUUUGUUUUUGGCGAAUUGUUAGUCUAAUUCGAUUGGAUUCGAGCCAUGAAAUGUGGUCUUCGAUUUCAUGAUAACUUCGGGUUUGUUCGUUUUUGGCAUACUGCUAGUCUAAUUCGAUUGGAAUCGAGCCAAUGAAAUGUGGUUUUCGAUUUCAUGAUAACUUCGGGUUUGUUCAUUUUCGGCGAAUAGCUAGUCUAAUUCGAUUGGAAUCGAGCCAAUGAAAUAUGGUUUUCGAUUUCAUGAUAACUUCGUGUUUGUUCAUUUUUGGCGAAUUGCUAGUUUAAUUAGUUGGAGUCGAGCCAAUGAAAUGUGGUUUUCGAUUUCAUUAUAACUUCGGGUUUGUUCGUUUUUAGCGAAUUGCCAAUCUAAUUCAACUGGAAUCAAGCCAUGAAAUGUGGUUUUCGAUUUCAUGAUAACUUCAGGUUUGUUCAUUUUUGGCAAAUCGGUAGUUUGAGUCGUCUAGAAUCGAGCCAUGAAAUGUGGUUUUCGAUUUUAGGAUAACUUCAGGUUUGUUCAUUCUUGGCGAAUCGCUGGUCUAAUUCGAUUGGAAUCGAGCCAUGAAAUGUGGUCUUCGAUUUCAUGAUAACUUCGGGUUUGUUCAUUUUUGACGAAUUGCUAGCCUAAUUCGAUCGGAAUCGACCAAUGAAAUGCGGUUUUCGAUUUCAUGAUAACUUCGUGUUUGUUCAUUUUUAGCGAAUUGCUAGUCUAAUUAGUUGGAGUCGAGCCAAUGAAAUGUGGUUUUCGAUUUCAUGAUAACUUCGGGUUUGUUCAUUUUUGGCGAAUUGCUAGUCUAAUUCAACCGGAAUCGAGCAAUGUAAUGUGGUUUUCGAUUUCAUGAUAACUUCAGGUUUGUUCAUUUUUGGUGAAUCGGUAGUCUGAUUCGUUUAGAAUCGAGCCAUGAAAUGUGGUUUUCGAUUUCAGGAUAACUUCGGGUUUGUUCAUUUUUGGCGAAUCGCUAGUCUGAUUCGAUUGGAAUCGAGCCAUGAAAUGUGGUCUUCGAUUUCAUGAUAACUUCGGUUUGUUCGUUUUGGGCGAAUUGCUAGUCUAAUUCGAUUGGAAUCGAGCCAAUGAAAUGUGGUUUUCGAUUUCAUGAUAACUUUGGGUUUGUUCAUUUUUGGCGAAUAGCUAGUCUAAUUCGAUUGGAAUCGAGCCAAUGAAAUGUGGUUUUCGAUUAUAUGAUAACUUCGGGUUUGUUCAUUUUUAGCGAAUUGCUAGUUUAAUUCGAUUCGAAUCGAGCCAAUGAAACGUGUAUUUCGAUUUCAUGAUAACUUCGGGUUUGUUCGUUUUUGGCAAGUUGCUAAUCUAAUUCGAUUGGAAUCGAGCCAAUGAAAUGUAGUUUUCAAUUUCAUGAUAACUUUGGGUUUGUUCCUUUUUUGCGAAUUGCAAGUCUAAUUCAAUUAAAAUCGAGCCAAUGAAAUGUGGUUUUCGAUAAAAUGAUAACUUCGGGUUUGUUCGUGUUUGGCGAAUUGCUAGUUUGAUUCGAUUGGAAUCGAGCUAAAAAAAUGUAGUUUUCGAUUUCAUGUUGACUUCGGGUUUGUUCAUUUUUUGUGAAUUGCUAGUCUAAUUCAGUUGGAAUCGAGCCAAUGAAACGUGUAUUUCGAUUUCAUGAUAACUUCGGGUCUGUUAUUUUUGGCGAAUUGCUAGUCUAAUUUGAUUGUAAUCGAGCCAUGAAAUGUGGUUUUCAAUUUCAUGAUAACAUCGGGUUUUAUCAUUUUUUACGAAUUACUAAUCUAAUUCAAUUGGAAUCGUGGCAACGAAAUGUGGUUAUCGAUUCCAUUAUAACAUCGGGUUUGUUCAUUUUUGAUGAAUUGCUAGUCUAAUUCGAUUGGAAUCGACCAAUGAAAUGUGGUCUUGGAUUUCAUGAUAACUUCGCGUUUGUUCGUUUUUGGCGAAUUGCUAGUCUAAUUUGAUUGGAAUCGAGCCAACGGAAUUUGGUUCUCGAUUUCAUGAUAACUUUGGGUUUGUUCAUUUUUCGCGAAUUGCUAGGCUUAUUCGAUUGGAAUCGAGUCAAUGAAAUGUGGUUUUCGAUUUCAUGAUAACAAAUAACUUCGGGUUUGUUCGUUAUUGGCGAAUUGCUAGAACAUUCGAUUGGAAUCGAGCCAGUGAAAAGUGGCUUUCGAUUUCAUGAUAACUUCGGGUUUGUUCAUUUUUUUCGAAUUGCUACUCUAAUUCGAUUGGAAUCGAGCCUGUGAAAAGUGGCUUUCGAUUUCGUGAAAACUUCGGGUUUGUUUGUUCUUGGCGAAUUGCUAGUCUAAUUCGAUUGGAAUCGAGCCAAUGAAAUGUUGUUUUCGAUUAAAUGAUAACUUCGGGUUCAUUCAUUUUUAGCGAAUUGCUAGUUUAAUUCGAUUGGAAUCGAGACAAUGAAACGUGUAUUUCGAUUUCAUGAUAACUUCAUGUCUGUUAUUUUUGGCGAAUUGCUAGUCUAAUUCGAUUGGAAUCGAGCAGCGAAAUGUGGUUUUCGAUUUCAUGAUAACUUCGGGUUUUAUCAUUUUCUACGAAUUACUAGUCUAAUUCGAUUGGAAUUGAGCCAACGAAAUGUGGUUUUUGAUUUCAUUAUAACUUCGGGUUUGUUCAUUUUUGGCGAAUUGCUAAUCUAAUUCGAUUGGAAUCGAGCCAAUGAAAUGUAGUUUUCAAUUUCAUGAUAACGUUGGGUUAGUUCAUUUUUUGCGAAUUGCAAGUCUAAUUCAAUUAAAAUCGAGCCAAGAAAUGUGGUCUUCGAUUUCAUGAUAACUUCGGGUUUAUUUGUUUUUUGCGAAUUGUUAGUCUAAUUCGAUUGGAAUCGAGCCAUGAAAUGUAGCCUUCGAUUUCAGGAUAACUUCGGGUUUGUUCGUUUUUGACGAAUUGCUAGUCUAAUUCGAUUGAAAUCUAGCUAAUGAAAUGUGGUUUUCGAUUUCCAGAGAACUUUGGGUUUAUUCAUUUAUGGCGAAUCGCUAGUCUAAUUCGAUUGGAAUCGAGCCAACGAAAUGUGGUUUUCGAUUUCAUGAUAACUUCGUGUUUGUUCGUUUUUGACGAAUUGCUAGUCUCAUUCGACCGGAAUCGAGCCAUGAAAUGUGGUUUUCGAUUUCAUGAUAACUUCAGGUUUUUUCAUUUUUGGCUAGUCUGAGUCGACUAGAAUCGAGCCGUGAAAUGUGGUUUUCGAUUUCAUGACAACUUCGGGUUUGCUCAUUUUUUACGAAUUGCUAGUCUGAUUCGAUUGGAAUCGAGCCAAUGAAAUGUGGUUUUCAAUUUCAUGAGAACUUCGGGAUUGUUUGUUUUUGGCGAAAUGCUAGUCUAAUUCGAUUGGAAUCGAGCCAAUGAAAUGUGGUUUUCUAUUUCAUGAUAACUUCGGGUUUGUUCUUUUUUGGCGAAAUUCUAGUCUAAUUCAAUUGGAAUCAAGCCAAUGAAAUGUGGUUUUCGCUUUCAUGAUAACUUUAAGUUUGUUCAUUUUUGACGAAUUACUAGUCUAAUUCGAUUGGAACGAGCCAAUGAAAUGUGGUUUUCGAUUUCAUGAUAACUUCGGGUUUGUUCAUUUUUUUGCGAAUGGCUAGUCUAAUUCGAUUGGAUUCGUGCUGAUGAAAUGUGGUUUUCGAUUUCAUGAUAACUUCGGCUUUGUUCGUUUUUGGCGAAUUGCUAGUCUAAUUCGCUUGGAAUCUAGCCAAUGAAAUGUGGUUUUCGAUUUCAUGAUAACUUCGGGUUUGUUCGUUUUUGGAGAAAUGCUAGUCUAAUUUGAUUGUAAUCGAGCCAAUGAAACGUGGUUUUCGAUUUCAUGAUAACAAAUAACUUCGGGUUUGUUCAUUUUUGGCGAAUUGCUAGUCUAAUUCGGUUGGAAUUGAGCCAGUAAAAAGUGGCAUUUGAUUUCACGAUAACAUCGGGUUUGUUUGUUCUUGGCAAAUUGCUAGUCUAAUUCGAUUGGAAUCGAGCCAAUGAAAUGUGGUUUUCGAUUAAAUGAUAACUUUUGGUUUGUUCAUUUUUGGCGAAUCGCUAGUCUGAUUCGAUUGGAAUCGAGCCAUGAAAUGUGAUCUUCGAUUUCAUGAUAACAUCGGGUUUGUUCAUUUUUGGCGAAUUGCUAGUCUAUUUCGAUUAGAAUCGAGCCAAUGAAAUGUGGUUUUCGAUUUCAUGAUAACUUCGGGUUUAUUCAUUUUCGGCGAAUUGCUAGUCUAAUUCGAUUGGAAUCAAGGCUACGAAAUGUGGUUUUCGAUUCCAUUAUAACUUCGGGUUUGUUCAUUUUUGGCAAUUGCUAAUCAAAUUCGAUUGGAAUCGAGCGAAUGAAAUGUAGUUUUCAAUUUCAUGAUAACACUGGGUUAGUUCGUUUUUUACGAAUUGCAAGUCUAAUUCAAUUAAAAUCGAGCCAAGAAAUGUGGUCUUCGAUUUCAUGAUAACUUUGGGUUUGUUUGUUUUUGGCGAAUAGUUAGUCUAAUUCGAUUGGAAUCGAGCCAUGAAAUGUAGUCUUCGAUUUCAUUAUAAAUUUGGAUUUGUUUGUUUUUGGCGAAUUGUUAGUCUAAUUCGAUUGGAAUCGAGCCAUGAAAUGUGGUCUUCGAUUUCAGGAUAACUUCGGGUUUGUUCAUUUUUGGCGAAUUGCUAGUCUAAUUCGAUUGGAAUCGAGCCAAUGAAAAGUGGUUUUCGAUUUCAAGAUAACUUCGGGUUUGUUCAUUUUUGGCGAAUAGCUAGUCUAAUUCGAUUGGAAUCGAGCCAAUGAAAUAUGGUUUUCGAUUUCAUGAUAACUUCGUGUUUGUUCAUUUUUAGCGAAUUGCUAGUCUAAUUAGUUGGAGUCGAGCCAAUGAAAUGUGGUUUUUGAUUUCAUGAUAACGUCGGGUUUGUUCGUUUUCAGCGAAUUGCCUGUCUAAAUCAAUUGGAAUCGAGCCAUGAAAUGUGGUUUUCGAUUUCAUGAUAACUUCAGGUUUGUUCAUUGUUGGCGAAUCGGUAGUCUGAUUCGUCUCGAAUCGAGCCAUGAAAUGUGGUUUUCGAUUUCAUGAUAACUUCGGGUUUGUUCAUUUUUGGCGAAUCGGUAGUCUGAUUCGUCUAGAAUCGAGCCAUGAAAUGUGGUUUUCGAUUUCUGGAUAACUUCGGGUUUGUUCAUUUUUGGUGAAUCGCUAGUCUAAUUCGAUUGGAAUCGAGCCAUGAAAUGUGGUCUUCGAUUUCAUGAUAACAUCGGGUGUGUUCGUUUUUGGCGAGUCGCUAGUCUCAUUCGAUUAGAAUCGAGCCAAUGAAAUGUGGUUUUCGAUUUCAUGAUAACUUCGUGUUUGUUCAUUUUUGGCGAAUUGCUAGUCUUAAUAGUUGGAGUCGAGCCAAUGAAAUGUGGUUUUCGAUUUCAUGAUAACUUCGGGUUUAUUCGUUUUCAGCGAAUUGCAAGUCUAAUUCGAUUGGAAUCGAGGCAACAAAAUUUGGUUUUCGAUUCCAUUUUACCUUCGGGUUUGUUCCUUUUUGACGAAUUGCUAGUCUAAUUCGAUUGCAAUUGACCAAUGAAAUGUGGUUUUGGAUUUCAUGAUAACUUCGCGUUUAUUCAUUUUUCGCAAAUUGCUGUGCUUACUCGAUUGGAAUCGAGUCAAUGAAAUGUGGUUUUCGAUUUCAUGAUAACAAAUAACUUCGGGUUUGUGCGUUAUUGGCGAAUUGCUAGUCCAUUCGAUUGGAAUCGAGCCAGUGAAAAGUGGCUUUCGAUUUCAUGAUAAAUUUGGGUUUGUUCAUUUUUUGCGAAUUGCUUCUCCAAUUCGAUUGGAAUCGAGCCUGUGAAAAGUGGCUUUUGAUUUCAUGAAAACUUCGGAUUUGUUUGUUCUUGGCGAAUUGCUAGUCUAAUUCGAUUGGAAUCGAGCCAAUGAAAUGUUGUUUUCGAUUAAAUGAUAACUUCGGGUUCGUUCAUUUUUAGCGAAUUGCUAGUUUAAUUCGAUUGGAAUCGAGCCAAUGAAACGUGUAUUUCGAUUUCAUGAUAACUUUGUGUCUGUUCUUUUUGGCUAAUUGCUAGUCUAAUUCGUUUGGAAUCGAGCCAUGAAAUGUGGUUUUCGAUUUCAUGAUAACUUCGGGUUUUAUCAUUUUCUACGAAAUUACUAGUCUAAUUCGAUUGGAAUCGAGCCAACGAAAUGUGGUUUUCGGUUUCAUUAUAACUUCGGGUUUGUUCAUUUUUGGCGAAUUGCUAAUCUAAUUCGAUUGGAAUCGAGCCAAUGAAACGUAGUUUUCAAUUUCAUGAUAACGUUGGGUUUGUUCGUUUUUUGCGAAUUGCAAGUCUAAUUCAAUUAAAAUCGAGCCAAGAAAUGUGGUCUUCGAUUUCAUAAUAACUUCGGGUUUGUAUGUUUUUGGCGAAUAGUUAGUCUAAUUCGAUUAGAAUCGAGCCAUGAAAUGUGGUCUUCGAUUUCAUGAUAACUUCGGGUCUGUUCAUUUUUGGCAAAUUGCUAGUCUAAUUCGAUUGGAAUCGAGCCAAUGAAAUGUGGUCUUCGAUUUCAUGAUAACUUCGGGUUUGUUCAUUUUUGGUGAAUAGCUAGUCUAAUUCGAUUGGAAUUGAGCCAAUGAAAUAUUGUUUUCGAUUUCAUGAUAACUUCGGGUUUGUUCAUUUUUAGCGAAUUUCUAGUCUAAUUAGUUGGAGUCGAGCCCAUGAAAUGUGGUUUUCGAUUUCAUGAUAACUUCGGGUUUGUUCGUUUUUAGCGAAUUGCCUGUCUAAUUCAAAUGGAAUGGAGCCAUGAAAUGUGGUUUUCAAUUUCAUGAUAACUUCCGGUUUGUUCAUUUUUGGCGAAUCGGUAGUCUAAUUCGUCAAGAAUUGAGCCAUGAAAUGUGGUUUACGAUUUCAGGAUAACUUUGGGUUUGUUCAUUUUUGGCGAAUCGCUAGUCUGAUUCGAUUGGAAUCGAGCCAUGAAAUGUGGUCUUCGAUUUCAUGAUAACUUCGGGUUUGUUCGUUUUUGGCUAAUUGCUAAUCUAAUUCGAUUGGAAUCGAGCCAAUGAAAUGUGGUUUUCGAUUUCAUGAUAACUUCGGGUUUGUUCAUUUUUGGCGAAUAGCUAGUCUAAGUCGAUUGGAAUCGAGUCAAUGAAAUGUGGUUUUCGAUUUCAUGAUAACUUCGUGUUUGUUUAUUUUUGGCGAAUUGCUAGUCUAAAUAGUUGGAGUCGAGCCAACGAAAUGUGGUUUUCGAUUUCAUGAUAACUUCGGGUUUAUUCAUUUUCGACGAAUUGCUAUCUAAUACGAUUGUAAUCGAGGCAACGAAAUGUGGUUUUCGAUUCCAUUAUAACUUCAGGUUUGUUCAUUUUUGACGAAUUGUUAUCUAAUUCGAUUGGAAUCGACCAAUGAAAUGUGGUUUUGGAUUUCAUGAGAACUUCGCUUUUGUUCAUUUUUGGCGAAUUGCUAGUCUAAUUCGAUUGGAAUCGAGCCAACGGAAUUUGGUUUUCGAUUUCAUGAGAACUUCGGGUCUGUUCAUUUUUCGCAAAUUGCUAGGCUUAUUCGAUUGGAAUCGAGUCAAUGAAAUGUGGUUUUCGAUUUCAUGAUAACAAAUAACUUCGGGUUUGUUCGUUAUUGGCGAAUUGCUAGCCCAUUCGAUUGGAAUUGAGCCAAUGAAAAGUGGCUUUCGAUUUCAUGAUAACUUCAGGUUUGUUCAUUUUUUGCGAAUUGCUACUCUAAUUCGAUUGGAAUCGAGCCUGUGAAAAGUGGCUUUUGAUUUAAUGAAAACUUCGGGUUUGUUUGUUCUUGGCAAAUUGCUAGUCUAAUUCGAUUGGAAUCGAGCCAAUGAAAUGUUGUUUUCGAUUAAAUGAUAACUUCGGGUUCGUUCAUUUUUAGCGAAUUGCAAGUUUAAUUCUAUUGGAAUCGAGCCAAUGAAACGUGUAUUUCGAUUUCAUGAUAACUUCGGGUCUGUUAUUUUUAGCGAAUUGCUAGUCUAAUUCGAUUGGAAUCGAGCCAAUGAAAUGUGGUUUUCGAUUAAAUGAUAGCUUUGGGUUUGUUCAUUUUUAGCGAAUUGCUGGUCUAAUUCGAUUAGAAUGGAGCCAAUGAAACUUGUAUUUCGACUUCAUGAUAACUUCGAGUCUGUUAUUUUAGGUGAAUUGAUAGUCUAAUUCGAUUGGAAUCGAGCCAUGAAUUGCGGUUUUCGAUUUCAUGAUAACAUCGGGUUUUAUCAUUUUUUACGAAUUACUAAUCUAAUUCGAUUGGAAUCGAAGCAACGAAAUGUGGUUUUCGAUUCCAUUAUAACUUCGGGUUUGUUCAUUUUUGGCGAAUUGCUAAUCUAAUUCGAUUGGAAUCGAGCCAAUGAAAUGUAGUUUUCAAUUUCAUGAUAACGUUGGGUUAGUUCAUUUUUUGCGAAUUGCAAGUCUAAUUCAAUUAAAAUCUAGCCAAGAAAUGUGGUCUUCGAUUUCAUGAUAACUUCGGGUUUGUUUGUUUUUGGCGAAUUGUUAGUCUAAUUCGAGUGGAAUCGAGCAAUGAAAUGUAGUCUUCGAUUUCAUUAUAACUUUGGAUUUGUUUGUGUUUGGCGAAUUGUUAGUCUAAUUAGUUGGAAUCGAGCCAAUGAAAUGUGGUUUUCGAUUUCAUAAUAACUUCAGGUUUGUUCAUUUUUGGCGAAUCGGUAGUCUGAUUCGUCUAGAAUCGAGCCAUGAAAUGUGGUUUUCGAUUUCAUGAUAUCUUCAGGUUUGUUCAUUUUUGGCGAAUUGGUAGUCUGAUUCGUCUAGAAUCGAGCCAUGAAAUGUGGUUUUCGAUUUCAUGAUAACUUCGGGUCUGUUCAUUUUUGGCGAAUCGGUAGUCUGAUUCGUCUAGAAUCGAGCCAUGAAAUGUGGUUUUCGAUUUCUGGAUAACUUCGGGUUUGUUCAUUUUUGGUGAAUCGCUAGUCUGAUUCGAUUGGAAUCGAGCCAUGAAAUGUGGUCUUCGAUUUCAUGAUAACAUCGGGUCUGUUCAUUUUUGGCGAAUUGCUAGUCUAAUUCGAUUAGAAUCGAGCCAAUGAAAUGUGGUUUUCGAUUUCAUGAUAACUUCAGGUUUAUUCGUUUUCGGCGAAUUGCUAGUCUAAUUCGAUUGGAAUCAAGGCAACGAAAUGUGGUUUUCGAUUCCAUUAUAACUUCGAGUUUGUUCAUUUUUGGCGAAUUGCUAUUCUAAUUCGAUUGGAAUCGAGCCAAUGAAAUGUAGUUUUCAAUUUCAUGAUAACGUUGGGUUAGUUCGUUUUUUGCGAAUUGCAAGUCUAAUUCAUUUAAAAUCGAGCCAAGAAAUGUGGUCUUCGAUUUCGUGAUAACUUUGGGUUUGUUUGUUUUUGGCGAAUUGUUAGUCUAAUUCGAUUGGAAUCGAGCCAUGAAAUGUAGUCUUCUAUUUCAUUAUAACUUUGGAUUUGUUUGUUUUUGGCGAAUUGUUAGUCUAAUUCGAUUGGAAUCGAGCCAUGAAAUGUGGUCUUCGAUUUUAGGAUAACUUCGCGUUUGUUCAUUUUUGGCGAAUUGCUAGUCUAAUUCGAUUGGAAUCGAGCCAAUGAAAAGUGGUUUUCGAUUUCACGAUAACUUCGGGUUUGUUCAUUUUUGGGGAAUAGCUAGUCUAAUUUGAUUGGAAUCGAGCCAAUGAAAUAUGGUUUUCGAUUUCAUUAUAACUACGUGUUUGUUCAUUUUUAGCGAAUUGCUAGUCUAAUUAGUUGGCGUCGAGCCAAUGAAAUGUGGUUUUCGAUUUCAUGAUAACUUCGGGUUUGUUCGUUUUCAGCGAAUUGCCUGUCUAAUUCAGCUGGAAUCGAGCCAUGAAAUGUGGUUUUCGAUUUGAUGAUAACUUCAAGUUUGUUCGUUUUUGGCGAAUCAGUAGUCUGAUUCGUCUAGAAUCGAGCCAUGAAAUGUGGUUUUCGAUUUCAUGAUAACUUCGGGUUUGCUCUUUUUUCGCAAAUCGGUAGUCUGAUUCGUCUAGAAUCGAGCCACGAAAUGUGGUUUUUGAUUUCUGGAUAACUUCGGGUUUGUUCAUUUUUGGCGAAUCGCUAGUCUGAUUCGAUUGGAAUCGAGCCAUGAAAUGUGGUCUUCGAUUUCAUGAUAACAUCGGGUUUGUUCGUUUUUGGCGAAUUGCUAGUCUAAUUCGAUUAGAAUCGAGCCAAUGAAAUGUGGUUUUCGAUUUCAUGAUAACUUCGGGUUUAUUCGUUUUCGGCGAAUUGCUAGUCUAAUUCGAUUGGAAUCAAGGCAACGAAAUGUGGUUUUCGAUUCCAUUAUAACUUCGGGUUUGUUCAUUUUUGACGAAUUGCUAGUCUAAUUCGAUUGGAAUCGACCAAUGAAAUGUGGUUUUGGAUUUCAUGAUAACUUCGCGUUUGUUCAUUUUUGGCGAAUUGCUAGUCUAAUUCGAUUGGAAUCAAGGCAAACUUCGGGUUUGUUCGUUUUUGACGAAUUACUAGUCUAAUUCGAUUGGAAUUGACCAAUGAAAUGUGGUUUUGGAUUUCUUGAUAACUUCGCGUUUCUUCAUUUUUCGCAAAUUGCGAAGCUAAUUCGAUUGGGAUCGAGUCAAUGAAAUGUGGUUUUCGAUUUCAUGAUAACAAAUAACUUCGGGUUUAUUCGUUAUUGGCGAAUUGCUAGUCCAUUCGAUUGGAAUCGAGCCAAUGAAACGUGUAUUUCGAUUUCACGAUAACUUCGGGUCUGUUAUUUUUGGCGAAUUGCUAGUCUAAUUCGAUUGGAAUCGAGCCAUGAAAUGUUGUUUUCGAUUACAUGAUAACUUCGGGUUUUAUCAUUUUCUACGAAUUACUAGUCUAACUCGAUUGGAAUCGAGCCAACGAAAUGUGGUUUUCGAUUUCAUUAUAACUUCGGGUUUGUUCAUUUUCAGGGAAUUGCCAGUCUAAUUCAACUGGAAUCGAGCCACGAAAUGUGGUUUUCGAUUUCAUGAUAUCUUCAGGUUUGUUCAUUUUUGGCGAAUUGGUAGUCUGAUUCGUCUAGAAUCGAGCCAUGAAAUGUGGUUUUCGAUUUCAUAAUAACUUCGGGUUUGCUCAUUUUUGGCGAACCGGUAGUCUGAUUCAUCUAGAAUCGAGCCAUGAAAUGUGGUUUUCAAUUUCUGGAUAACUUCGGGUUUGUUCAUUUUUGGCGAAUCGCUAGUCUGAUUCGAUUGGAAUUGAGCCACGAAAUGUGCUCUUCGAUUUCAUGAUAACUUCGGGUUUGUUCAUUUUUGACGAAUUGCUAGUCUCAUUCGAUUAGAAUCGAGCCAAUUAAAUGUGGUUUUCAAUUUCAUGAUAACUUCGGGUUUGUUCAUUUUUGGCGAACAGCUAGUCUAAUUCGAUUGGAAUCGAGCCAAUGAAAUGUGGUUUUCGAUUUCAUGAUAACUUCGUGCUUGUUGAUUUUUGGCAAAUUUCUAGUCUAAUUAGUUGGAGUCAAGCCAAUGAAAUGUGGUUUUCGAUUUCAUGAUAACUUCGGGUUUGUUCGUUUUCAGCGAAUUGCCAAUCUAAUUCAACUAGAAUCGAGCCACGAAAUGUGGUUUUCGAUUUCAUGAUAACUUCAGGUUUGUUCAUUUUUAGCGAAUCGGUAGUCUGAUUCGUCUAGAAUCAAGCCAUGGAAUGUGGUUUUCGAUUUCAUGAUAACUUCGGGUUUGUUUAUUUUUAGCGAAUCGAUAGUCUGAUUCAUCUAGAAUCGAGCCAUGAAAUGUGGUUUUCGAUUUCUGGAUAACUUUGGGUUUGUUCAUUUUUGGCGAAUCGCUAGUCUGAUUCGAUUGGAAUCGAGCAAUGAAAUGUGGUCUUCGAUUUCAUGAUAACUUUGAGUUUGUUCAUUUUUGGCGAGUCGCUAGUCUCAUUCGAUUAGAAUCGAGCCAAUGAAAUGUGGUUUUCGAUUUCAUGAUAACUUCGUGUUUGUUCAUUUUUGGCGAAUUGCUAGUCUUAAUAGUUGGAGUCGAGCCAAUGAAAUGUGGUUUUCGAUUUCAUGAUAACUUCGGGUUUAUUCGUUUUCGGCAAAUUGCGAGCAUAAUUCGAUUGGAAUCGAGGCAACAAAACUUGGUUUUCGAUUCCAUUUUAACUUUGGGUUUGUUCCUUUUUGACGAAUUGCUAGUCUAAUUCGAUUGGAAUUGACCAAUGAAAUGUGGUUUUGGAUUUCAUGAUAACUUCGCGUUUGUUCAUUUUUCGCAAAUUGCUAGGCUUAUUCGAUUGGAAUCGAGUCAAUGAAAUGUGGUUUUUGAUUUCAUGAUAACAAAUAACUUCGGGUUUGUGCGUUAUUGGCGAAUUGCUAGUCCAUUCGAUUGGAAUCGAGCCAGUGAAAAGUGGCUUUCGAUUUCAUGAUAACUUUGGGUUUGUUCAUUUUUUGCGAAUUGCUACUCUAAUUCGAUUGGAAUCGAGCCUGUGAAAAGUGGCUUUUGAUUUCAUGAAAACUUCGGAUUUGUUUGUUCUUGGCGAAUUUCUAGUCUAAUUCAAUUGGAAUCGAGAAAAUGAAAUGUUGUUUUCGAUUAAAUGAUAACUUCGGGUUCGUUCAUUUUUAGCGAAUUGCUAGUUUAAUUCGAUUGGAAUCGAGCCAAUGAAACCUGUAUUUCGAUUUCAUGAUAACUUUGGGUCUAUUAUUUUUGGCGAAUUGCUAGUCUAAUUCGAUUGGAAUCGAGCCAAGAAAUGUGGUUUUCGAUUUCAUGAUAACUUCAGGUUUGUUCAUUUUUUUGCGAAUUGCUACUCUAAUUCGAUUGGAAUCGAGCCUGUGAAAAGUGGCUUUUGAUUUAAUGAAAACUUCGGGUUUGUUUGUUCUUGGCAAAUUGCUAGUCUAAUUCGAUUGGAAUCGAGCCAAUGAAAUGUUGUUUUCGAUUAAAUGAUAACUUCGGGUUCGUUCAUUUUUAGCGAAUUGCUAGUUUAAUUCUACUGGAAUCGAGCCAAUGAAACGUGUAUUUCGAUUUCAUGAUAACUUCGGGUCUGUUAUUUUUAGCGAAUUGCUAGUCUAAUUCGAUUGGAAUCGAGCCAUGAAAUGUGGUUUUCGAUUUGAUGACAACUUCGGGUUUUAUCAUUUUCUACGAAUUAGUUGUCUAAUUCGAUUGGAAUCGAGCCAACAAAAUGUGGUUUUCGAUUUCAUUAUAACUUCGGGUUUGUUCAUUUUUGGCGAAUUGCUAAUCUAAUUCGAUUUGAAUCGAGCCAAUGAAAUGUAGUUUUCAAUUUCAUGAUAACAUUGGGUUUGUUCAUUUUUUGCGAAUUACAAGUCUAAUUCAAUUAAAAUCGAGCCAAGAAAUGUGGUCUUCGAUUUCAUGAUAACUUCGGGUUUGUUUGUUUUUGGCGAAUUGUUAGUCUAAUUCGAUUGGAAUCGAGCCAUGAAAUGUGGUCUUCGAUUUCAUGAUAACUUCGGGUUUGUUUGUUUUUGGCGAAUUGUUAGUCUAAUUCGAUUGGAAUCGAGCCAUGAAAUGUGGUCUUCGAUUUCAUGAUAACUUUGGGUUUGUUUGUUUUUGGUGAAUUGUUGUUCUAACUCGAUUGGAAUCGAGCCAUGAAAUGUGGUCUUCGAUUUCAGGAUAACUUCGGGUUUGUUCGUUUUUGGCGAAUUGCUAGUCUAAUUCGAUUGGAAUCAAGCCAACGGAAUUUGGUUUUCGAUUUCAUGAUAACUUCGGGUUUGUUCGUUUUUGGCGAAUUGCUAAUCUAAUUCGAUUGGAAUCGAGCCAUGAAAUGUGGUCUUCGAUUUCAGGAUAACUUCGGGUUUGUUCGUUUUUGGCGAAUUGCUAAUCUAAUUCGAUUGGAAUCGAGCCAUGAAAUGUGGUCUUCGAUUUCAUGAUAACUUCGGGUUUGUUCAUUUUUGGCGAAUUGCUAGUCCAUUCGAUUGGAAUCGAGCCAGUGAAAAGUGGCUUUCGAUUUCAUGAUAACUUCGGGUUUGUUCAUUUUUUGUGGAUUGGUACUCUAUUUCGAUUGGAAUCGAGCCAUGAAAUGUGGUUUUCGAUUUCAUUAUAACUUCGGGUUUGUUCAUUUUUGGCGAAUUGCUAAUCUAAUUCGAUUGGAAUCGAGCCAAUGAAAUGUAGUUUUCAAUUUCAUGAUAACAUUGGGUUUGUUCAUUUUUUGCGAAUUGCAAGUCUAAUUCAAUUAAAAUCGAGCCAAGAAAUGUGGUCUUCGAUUUCAUGAUAACUUCGGGUUUGUUUGUUUUUGGCGAAUUGUUAGUCUAAUUCGAUUGGAAUCGAGUCAUGAAAUGUGGUCUUCGAUUUCAUGAUAACUUUGGGUUUAUUUGUUUUUGGCGAAUUGUUGUUCUAACUCGAUUGGAAUCGAGCCAUGGAAUGUGGUCUUCGAUUUCAGGAUAACUUUGGGUUUGUUCGUUUUUGGCGAAUUGCUAGUCUAAUUCGAUUGGAAUCAAGCCAACGGAAUUUGGUUUUCGAUUUCAUGAUAACUUCGGGUUUGUUCAUUUUUCGCAAAUUGCUAGGCUUAUUCGAUUGAAAUCGAGUCAAUGAAAUGUGGUUUUCGAUUUCAUGAUAACAAAUAACUUCGGGUUUGUUCAUUUUCGGCGAAUUGCUAGUCCAUUCGAUUGGAAUCGAGCCAGUGAAAAGUGACUUUCGAUUUCAUGAUAACUUCGGGUUUGUUCAUUUUUUACGGAUUGGUACUCUAAUUCGAUUGGAAUCGAGCCAUGAAAUGUGGUUUUCGAUUUCAUGAUAACUUCGGGUUUUAUCAUUUUCUACGAAUUAGUUGUCUAAUUCGAUUGGAAUCGAGCCAACGAAAUGUGGUUUUCGAUUUUAUUAUAACUUCGGGUUUGUUCAUUUUUGGCGAAUUGCUAAUCUAAUUCGAUUGGAAUCGAGCCAAUGAAAUGUAGUUUUCAAUUUCAUGAUAACAUUGGGUUUGUUCAUUUUUUGCGAAUUGCAAGUCUAAUUCAAUUAAAAUCGAGCCAAGAAAUGUGGUCUUCGAUUUCAUGAUAACUUCGGGUUUGUUUGUUUUUGGCGAAUUGUUAGUCUAAAUCGAUUGGAAUCGAGCCAUGAAAUGUGAUCUUCGAUUUCAUGAUAACUUUGGGUUUGUUUGUUUUUGGCGAAUUGUUGGUCUAACUCGAUUGGAAUCGAGCCAUGAAAUGUGGUCUUCGAUUUCAGGAUAACUUUGGGUUUGUUCAUUUUUGGCGAAUUGCUAGUCUAAUUCGAUUGGAAUCAAGCCAACGGAAUUUGGUUUUCGAUUUCAUGAUAACUUCGGGUUUGUUCAUUUUUCGCAAAUUGCUAGGCUUAUUCGAUUGAAAUCGAGUCAAUGAAAUGUGGUUUUCGAUUUCAUGAUAACAAAUAACUUCGGGUUUGUUCGUUUUUGGCGAAUUGCUAGUCCAUUCGAUUGGAAUCGAGCCAGUGAAAAGUGGCUUUCGAUUUCAUGAUAACUUCGGGUUUGUUCAUUUUUUGCGGAUUGGUACUCUAAUUCGAUUGGAAUCGAGCCAUGAAAUGUGGUUUUCGAAUUUAGGAUAACUUCACGUUUUAUCAUUUUUAACGAAUUACUAGUCUAAUUCGAUAGGAAUCGAGCCAUGAAAUGUGAUUUUCGAUUUCAUGAUAAAUUCGGGUUUGUUCGUUGUUGGCCAAUUGCUAGUCUUAAUUGAUUGGAAUCGAGCCAAUGAAAUGUGGUUUUCGAUUUCAUGAUAAAUUCGUGUUUGUUCAUUUUCUACGAAUUGCUAGUCUGAUUAGUUGGAGUCGAGCCAAUGAAAUGUUGUUUUAGAGUUCAUGAUAACAUUGGGUUUGUUUGUUUUUGUCGAAUUGCUAGUCUAAUUCAAUUUGAAUCGAGCCAAUGAAACAUGUAUUUCGAUUUCAUGAUAACUUUGGCUCUGUUCGUUUUUGGCGAAUUGCUAGUCUAAUUCAAUUUGAAUCGAGGCAAUGAAACGUGUAUUUCGAUUUCAAGAGGACUUUUGGUCUGCUCAUUUUUGGCGAAUUGCUUGUUUAAAUCUAUUGGAAUCGAGCCAUGAAAUGUGGUUUUCGAUUUCACGAUAACUUCGAGUUUGUUCAUUUUUGGCGAAUUGCUAGUCUAAUUCGAUUGGAAUCGAGCCAAUGAAAUGUGGUUUUCGAUUUCAUGACGACUUCGGGUUUGUUCAUUUUUAGCGAAUUGCUUCUCUAAUUCGAUUGGAAUCGAGCCAAUGAAACGUGUACUUCGAUUUCAUGAUAACUUUGGGUAUGUUCAUUUUUGGCGAAUUGCUAGUCUAAUUCGAUUGGAAUCAAGCCAUGAAAUGAGGUUUUCGAUUUCAUGAUAACUUUGGGUUCGUUCAUUUUUUACGAAUUGCUAGUCUAAUUCGAUUGGAAUCUAGCUAAUGAAAUGUGGUUUUCGAUUUCCAGAGAACUUUGGGUUUAUUCAUUUAUGGCGAAUCGCUAGUCUAAUUCGAUUGGAAUCGAGCCAACGAAAUGUGGUUUUCGAUUUCAUGAUAACUUCGUGUUUGUUCGUUUUUGACGAAUUGCUAGUCUAAUUCGACCGGAAUCGAGCCAUGAAAUGUGGUUUUCGAUUUCAUGAUAACUUCAGGUUUUUUCAUUUUUGGCAAAUUGCUAGUCUGAGUCGACUAGAAUCGAGCCGUGAAAUGUGGUUUUCGAUUUCAUGAUAACUUCGGGUUUGUUCAUUUUUUGCGAAUUGCUAGUCUAAUUCGAUUGCAAUCGAGCCAAUGAAAUGUGGUUUUCAAUUUCAUGAGAACUUCGGGAUUGUUUGUUUUUGGCGAAAUGCUAGUCUAAUUCGAUUGGAAUCGAGCCAAUGAAAUGUGGUUUUCUAUUUCAUGAUAACUUCGGGUUUGUUCUUUUUUGGCGAAAUGUUAGUCUAAUUCAAUUGGAAUCAAGCCAAUGAAAUGUGGUUUUCGCUUUCAUGAUAACUUUGGGUUUGUUCAUUUUUGAUGAAUUACUAGUCUAAUUCGAUUGGAACGAGCCAAUGAAAUGUGGUUUUCAAUUUCAUGAUAACUUCGGGUUUGUUCAUUUUUCGCGAAUUGCUAGUCUAAUUCGAUUGGAUUCGAGCUAAUGAAAUGUGGUUUUCGAUUUCAUGAUAACUUCGGGUUUGUUCAUUUUUGGCGAAUAGCUAGUCUAAGUCGAUUGGAAUCGAGUCAAUGAAAUGUGGUUUUCGAUUUCAUGAUAACUUCGUGUUUGUUCAUUUUUGGCGAAUUGCUAGUCUAAAUAGUUGGAGUCGAGCCAAUGAAAUGUGGUUUUCGAUUUCAUGAUAACUUCGGGUUUAUUCGUUUUCGAUGAAUUGCUAGUCUAAUUCGAUUGUAAUCGAGGCAACUGCUACAACUUUAAGGUUGCAAACCCAAGUACAGGUUGUCGCAAGUAGUAAAUCUCGGAAGUCCGAGGUCGAACCACAGGGAAUUGGAAGGAAAUAAACUAUUCUAUGAGUAAUAAACGGUUGGUGAAAAUACGAUUGAGAUGAACACUAGAGCGUCGGGGAUUCACUUCGGAUAAAUGAGUAGAAAUUGCCCUUGAUCUUUAAUUUAACUCAUAUGAAAAUCAACUAAGGAAUGAUCUCAUAUGGAAGAUAAAACAUUGAUCACAAAUAUAUUAAAAGAUAGAUCUUGAUCAUUGUUUGAGAGAAUAUGUCAAAAUAAGUUGUUGGAAUGUAGAGAUUAUCUAAGCAUUUAUUGUGCCAAAAUUGUCAACAAUAAAUCAAAGUCUUUAACAAACCAAAACCAUUUGUAGAACACAAACUUCAACCAAGUAAGAAGAUGAACAUUGAAGAACAAAAUGAAAGAUCAAAGACAACACUAAACAUUCAUCAAAGUUUCACCCUUAGCUCUAGCUAAAUGUUUAGAAAUACAUAGUGAAAUGUUACAAAGAAAAUGAAGGAAACUAGAAUAUGAUGGAGAGAAUUGAUGCUUCAAAAUCGUGGCCAAGGUCCCCUUUUAUAGGCAAAGGAACAUCCAAAAUUCAAGUAGGCAAUGCAACUUGUUUCUGUCCAGCUUCAAGACAGCUGGAACAUGCAACUUGAUGCCAAUUUUCAGAUAUAUUGUGCAGCGAAUUCGGACUUAUGAUCAACAGAUAAUUUAUUGCCACUUGAGUUAGCUUUCCAUUGGUUCAAAUGUCAGGUUCAUUGGAUCUAUAUAACUCCAUAUAUGACAAAAACAAUAAGUGCUGCUUCACAGGUAAAGCUGUAUCGGGCAGGUGACAAGAUGGACUUUGCACGGUAAUUUUGGCUGCCUUUUGAUACGAAUUUGACUUCUUCCAAAACAUAAAAGUUGUAGAAACGUGCCUUUUCUUUCCAACCCAACUUGAAUCACCUCGAUCCAAUGUCUGAAGCUCAAGUUAUGAUUAUUUUACCAACAGCUGCUUCUUGCUUGAGGCAGUCACUAUUUUUGACUUUUCAACAUUAUUUUCCUCCACUUGCUCCACUUGUAAUAAAUUGGAAAUACAUGUGAAAUACAUCAAAUAGAUACUCUUUCAAAUGUAUAAUACUCAUGCCGACAUGUAUGUAAAUACGUAUUUCAAUUAAUUGCAUUUUUAACCAUGUAUUUAUGGAAAUUGAAUUUACGGCAUGAGAAUUGGAAUUAGAGACUAACAUUAGCGUUUUUAAACAAAGUGAAUGUAAAAUGCCUUGUAAAUUAUAUAUCUUGAAGCAAUUUCAGAUGCUAAU